RNAcentral lists this long non-coding RNA (65188 nucleotides) under Triticum aestivum (bread wheat). RNAcentral describes it as "long non-coding RNA (TAES_LNC013610)". Lineage: Eukaryota; Viridiplantae; Streptophyta; Magnoliopsida; Poales; Poaceae. The record is from RNAcentral.
AGAGAGAGAGAGCACAGGUCAAAACAGAGAAACAAAGGCAAAAACGGAGGCAGAAGGCGAUGGAACAAGACCGGCAAAGAUCACUAGAAAGCAAAUUCGAUUAAAGAGGGGCGAGCCAACUACGGAAAGCAAAUGAAAAGCCACGUCCGGCACCUAGUCUAGUCUUCUUGUCUUCUCACCAGCGCGGAGCUAAGUGCUGCCACUAGGACGUGGGAGGGAGCCCCAGAGGCCCGAGGGCGGCACUCCUGAGACUUCGGGGCGUGUACAGCCCCACUCAUUAUUACGUGAGAGUGUCACCAGCGGAGACCUUCACAUGCACUAGGCCUUCUUCACAGACGCUGGGCCUUUCUUCAUGGGCAGAACUUCCGGAGGUGCUGGAUGUUCCACGCGUUCUGGAUGGGUACCCCGUCCUGCGUCUCCAGGCGCGCGGCACCAGGCCUGGAGAUGUCGACGACCUUGAACGGGCCCUCCCACAUGGGUGAGAGCUUAUGCAACCCUUCCCUGGAGAGCACCCGCCUCAGGACGAGGUCACCCACCUCGAGCGUCCUGGAACAGACGUUGCGGCAGUGGUACCGCCGCAGCGCCUGCAGGUAUCUUGCCGCCCGUAGCGCGGCUUCGCGGUGACGUUCCUCCCCUAGUACGAGGUCCAUCCCCCGCGUGACGUCGUGCUGUGUCUCAUCAAACGCCAGGACCUAUGCGGAGCGAUGCUUGACCUCGUGAGGGAGAACCGUUUCUGCUCCAUAGACGAGGAAGAAUGGGGUCUCGCCCGUCGGCUUGGUGGCGGUGGUGCGGAUGGACCACAGCACGGACUGGAGCUCGUCGUGACAGCCCCUGCCAUAGGCUUCGAGCUUCUUCUUGAAGUUCCUGGUCUUGAGGCCUCUCAGGACCUCCGCAUUGGCGCGUUCGGCUUGACCAUUGCUUCUGAGGUGCGCCACUGAAGCGUAGCAGAUCUGUGUUCCAAGGUUAGCACAGUACGUUUUGAAGAGAUUACUGGUGAACUACAAGCUGUUAUCCGUGAUGAUGUGGUUGGGGACCCCGAAACGGCUCACGAGGCCCUUGAUGAACUUGACCGCGGAGCCAGCUAGGAUGGUGCGGACGGCUUCUACCUCUGCCCACUUGGUGAACUUGUGGAUGGCGACGUAGAGGUAGCGGUAGCCCCUAGGCGCUCGAGGGAACGGGCCCAAGAUAUCCAGCCCCUAGACCGUGAAUGGCCACAAGAGUGGGAUGGUCUGGAGGCCCUGAGCCGGCUGAUGAAUCUGCUUGGCGUGGAACUGGCAGGCCUCGCAGGACUUCACCAGCUCAGUCGUGUCGUUGAGCGCCGUAGGCCAGUAGAAUCCGCUGCAGAAUGCCUUGCCGACGAGGAUUCGCGACGACGAGUGGUGCCCGCAGUCCCUGCCGUGUAUGUCAGCUAGCAGCUCUUUACCCCAUUCCCUGGAGAUGCAACAUAGGGAAACGUCAUUUUGUCGCUUCCUGUAUAACUCACCAUCCUGGAUGCAGUAUGUCGUGGCUUGCCGGGCCACGCGCUCCGCGUCCUCCUCCUUCUCCGGCAGCGUCCCUUGCGUCAGGUAUUCCUUGAAUUCCUUGGUCCAGCAUCCCUCCUGAGGCUCGAGCGCCAACAGUAGACGCGCCCCCGAGGUCGGGCCAUAGGCCGGGGCUCCUGUGGCAGGUGGCUGUGGGAGCUCCUCCCGAGGCUGCGCUGUCCUUGAAAGUGGUGGCGUCGCCGAUGGCUUGAAGGGCCGCUCCUCAAAGACGCCGGGCUCUUGGGGCAGCCGCUUGGAUGCUCUCUUGGCAAUGUCGUCGGCCUCCUUGUUGGUCCCACGGGGCACGUGCUGCAACUCCAGGCCCAGGAACUUUUUCUCCAUCUUGCGCACCUCCGCGAGGUACGCUUCCAUGUGCUCGUCCCUCGGCUCGUACACCUUGUUGGAGAAGUUGACGAAGAGCUGCGAGUCGCCCUUGAUGGUGAGGCGCUUCACCCCCAGGGCCGCCGCAGCCUUCAGGCCAGCUAUGAGGCCUUCGUACUCUCCUAUGUUGUUGGGGACCUUCUCGCCCUGCUGGAAGAAAAGCUGCAUGGCGUAGUAGAGCUUGUCCUGAGUGGGUGAGAUGAGCACUGCUCCAGCCCCCGUGCCCUGGCACGCGAAGGCACCAUCGAAAUACAGGACCCAGUCGUCGGGUGCUUCGCUCCCCAGCGAGAUUGAUAGAUCCUCUCCUGCUUCAAAUUCUGGGGCAUCCGUCCAUUCUGCCACGAAAUCGGCGAGCGCAGCUCCCUUGAUGACCCUGGUUGUGCUGAACUCCAACUGGAAUGCUUGCAGCUCGAUAUUCCACUCGGCGACCCUCCCGACUGAGUUGGGGCUCCUGAGCACCCUCUCCAAUGGGUAGGUUGAGACGACCUUGAUAGGGUGACCUUGAAAGUAGUGUCGCAGCUUACGUGAAGCCACCAAGAGCGCGAGUAAGAGCUUCUAAGGCAUGGGGUACCGUGCCCUUGCGUCCCACAAUACCAUGCUGACGAAAUACACUGGGUGAUCCACGAGAGCGGGUGCGCUGAUGAGGCCUUCGCCUUCCGGAAGUUGGGGCGCCUCCUGAGAUGAGGGGCCCCCCAACGCCUGAUCGCUUGUCGGGGCCUCUGCAGGCUCAAGGGUGUCGUCCUGCUGAGCUUGGUCCUUUGCUGCCGCUGCUGCGGCCUUCGCGGUGCCCUCCUGGUUUUGUAUUGCUCCCGCUGGGGGCGCAGCUUGGCAUGAUGCGCCCUUGACCUGGCGCUCUUCCCGAACUGCUACUAGAGCCGCGCUAGCAGAGUAGGGAGUGGCGGCAACGCAAAGCACCAGGGGCUCGAGGGGGCGCGGGGCUACCAUCACCGGAGGGCUGUCAGGUAUCUCUUGAGGUCUUGAAAUGCUCGGUCGGCCUCCGGGGUCCACUCAAACGGGCCCUUCUUCUUUAUCAGCUUGAAGAAGGGUAGGGCGCGCUUUCCCAGCUUGGAGAUGAAGCGCCCCAACGCAGUCACACGACCGGCAAGCUUCUGUAUUUCUUUGAGGGUUUGUGGUGGACUCAUGUCUUCGAUUGCCUUGACCUUCUUUGGGUUGGCCUCGAUCCCCCUAUGGGACACGAGGAAGCCCGGGAGCUUGCCGGAAGGGACACCGAAUAUGGACUUCUCCGGGUUGAGCCACAAGUCCACCUGGCGUAGGCUCGCGAAGGUCUCUUCCAGCUCUUGAAUCAAAGUUCUCGCCUCCCGAGACUUCACCACAAUGUCGUCGAUGUAGGCCUCCGCGUUUCUCCCGAGCGGCCGUCCUAAGGCGAUGUGCAUCAGCCGCUGGAAGGUCGCUCCUGCGUUGCGCAGUCCGAAAGGCAUGCAAGUAUAGCAGUACACCCCACACGGGGUCAAGAAGGCGGUCUUCCCCACAUCUUCUACCGCCAUCUUGAUCUGGUGAUAGCCUGAGAACGCAUCCAGGAAGCACAAUAAAUCGCACUCGGCGGUGGAGUUGACGAUCUGGUCGAUCCGUGGAAGCGAGAACGGAUCUCGGGGGCAGGCCAUGUUGAGGUUGGUGAAGUCGACACACAUGCGCUCCUUCCCGGCUUUCUUCGGCACAACGACAGGGUUCGCCAGCCACUCGGGGUACCGAACCUCGCGAAUGGCACCCGCCGCCUCUAGCUUUGCGGGUUUCUUGGACGAUGAAGGCCUGCUUCUCCGUGGACUGUUGUCUCGCCCGCUGCUUCACAGGGCGUACAUUGGGGCACACCUUUAAGUGAUGCUCAAUCACCCCUCUCGGGACCCCCACCAGCUGUUUGGGUUCCCAUGUGAAUACCUCCUUGUUCGCGCGCAAGAACUUCACCAAUGCUUCCUCUUGAUUAGGGUCGAGGUCGGCACCUAUGGUAAAGGUGGCUCCUGAGGACCCGCCCUCAUCGACUGGCACCUGCUUGGUUUCAGCCUUGUCUUGGGUGAACAACUGGUGCGGCUUCCUUGGCCUUGGAGGCGUCCGCGUCGGUGGCCUACGCUGCCGCGGCGGUCUUGACGGCAAGCUUGAGCGCCACCAGAGCCUCCUUGGUGUCCCCCACGAUGGUGAGCACGCCCUUGCUCCGGGGCAUCUUCAUGAGGUUGUAAGCCGGAUGGGUUGCUGCCAUCAACUGGGCCAGAGCUGGGUACACGAGGAUGGCAUUGUAGGGGAGGCCGAUGCGGGCGAUGUCGAAGUCGGCCAGCUCGGUGCAGUUGUUGUCACGUGUGCCGAAGGUUACAGCACGGCGGAUCUGCCCCAGGGAGUGGGAGCUGCCGCCGCCAACCCCUGAGAAAGGCUUGCUCAGGCUGAGCCGCUCGAGUGGUACGUGAAGAAGGCUGAAGGCCUCCACGAAGAGCACGUUGAGGUCGGCGCCGCCGUCGAUGAGGGUCUUGGUGACGGCCACGUUGCAGAUGGUGGGCGUGCAAAGCAUUGGGAGCACACCCAAGCCGGCGGCGGUGACGGGGUGGUCCCCCGAGUCGAAGGUGAGGUCGGCCUCGGGCGCCGCCCAACCCGGGCGAGCCCCUUGGCGCGUGUAAGCGGCGCCGAUCUAGCGAAGGAACGGCUUGAGGUGAUGGUCUGAGGGCGGCGCUUGCGAGCCACCGAGGAGGGCCGCCACAGCGAGGGGUGCCGGCGCCGCGAAGCGUGCGGUGAAGAGGUCAAGCAACUCCUCCCAAGAGGUCACGGAAGAUCCUGGGAGGGUGAGUAGCACGGCACGCGGUGCCCCGUAAGGGCCAUGGGAAGCUAGUUGGCCAUGACCCUGUUGUCGCCCCCAGCUUUGAGGACGGCCUCCUCGUAUGCCAGUAGGAAAGCCACCUGAUCUGUCGUGCCGUCGUAGCGCGGUGGCAUCUCCGACUUGAACUUGGGCGACCACUGCACCUGUCGUAAGGCGGGGGCCAAGGCUCGGAGCCCCCUGGCCCCGCCGCUGGCAUCGGUCGUCGGAGCAGGAAGCGAUGUGCUUGCCAUGGGGGCGGAGCACGGUGGUGGCGAAGCACAGAUCGACGGAGGGAAAGCUCCGGCGCACCCCUACCUGGCGCGCCAAAUGUCGGAUUUCGGGUUCCGGCAAAACCCUUGAGGUUCGAACACUUGGGUGUGCACGAAGAUCUCCCCCUACCUAAUCACGCCCUCACCCUCACCGCAAUCUCAAGGUAUGGCUCGACGAACUCACCACACAAGGGACACAAGAUUUAUACUAGUUCGGGCCACCGUCAUGGUGUAAUACCCUACUCCAGUGUGGUGGUGGUGGAUUGCCUCUUGGGCUGAGGAUGAACAGUACAAGGGAAGAACAGCCUCGUGAGGAGAGGUGUUCUUGUGCUCGAUGGACUUGUGGGGGUGAGGAUUGCUCAAGAUAAGUUGCCUCCUACUGUGGUGGCUAGUCCUAUUUAUAGAGGCCCUGGUCCUCUUCCCAAAUAUUGAGCGGGAAGGGACGCCACAAUGGCCAAUUUGAAAGGGGACAUCUAGUACAAGUUGUCCUCACUAAAGGUGGUCUUCGCCUGCCAAAGGCUCUGGUGGUGACGCCGUCUUGGGCUCCAUGGUGACCUCCGUCCUGCCGUCCUGCUGGUCUUGGUCUCGUUGCACUGAUAUGGAAACCUUUGCCUGAUGCCUCGGUACUCCUUGCCUGCGCUUGCCCCUUUAGCACCAAAGAGGAAGCGAGGACGCUGCGAUUGCUGGCGCCCGCCUGGCCUUGGUCGUCAUGGCUUGCGUCACGGGAGCCUCGCGAGGUUCUCCUUGCCUUGAUCUCUCCACCCCUCGCGAGCCAACCUGGCGAGGCCGCUAUCGAGGGGGUCUUGCGUCGUCCGCCACACGAGGCUUGGCUCCUCGCGAGGGUCUUGAGUGUUUGCUGGUGAAGUUGGGCCGUACGGGGCCGCUGGGAGAGCCACGCCGUGGGCCGCAGGCAGGCAAGUCUAGGGACCCCCGUUCCCAGACGCCGUCACAAUGCAAGCUAGACACCACAUGAAAGAUGCAACCAAUAUGACUCUGCCAAGUUAAAAGCGUCCCAUCAUAAAUGGCAUUUCAACAAAUUAGAAGUAGCGCAUGCUAUAAAUCAUAUGAAAGAUGCAACUAAUAUCACACUGCAUAUACUAAAGGUGUCUCGUCAUAUUGAUUUAUGUAGGGUACAAAAAACAAUAGUUUUAUGUAAAGACAUGCUUAAUAGACAAAUGUACUAUGUACUAAAAACAGGAAGGCAUGUCACAUUAACAGGUAUAAUGUAUAAACUAAGCAAAAUAGCACAUGCAAUUUAACCAGAUUGGAAGAAUUACAAUCUAGACACCAUAUGCAACAUGCAACCACAUAUCACGCUGCCAAGUUGGAGCAAGCACCUACGAUGCUAGUGUAGGGGAAGUGUGGUAAUCAACUAUAGAGCUACGUUCACUAUCUUCAUCUAGCCUUGCUGUUUCUUGAGAAUCAUGUCGGUAGGCUGACGCUGCAAUCUUUAAAUGAGGAUAUUUUCUCACAGUAGUCCACUUGCCUGACUGCCUCAUCAUAAGUGAUUGAUGAGGGAUACACAAGAACAUUAGUUUGAUGUAAGAACAUGGUUAAUAGACAGAUGUACUAGUAUGUACCAAAAACAGGAAGGCAUGCCAUAUUCAAAGGUAUAGUGUGUAAGCUAAGCAGAUGAAAUUUAACCAAAUUGGAAGCAAUACAAGCUAGACAUCCAGCUGGAGUGGUGAGCAUGAUCAUUUAGGAGCUGAGAGCCUGGUGGGAGGCUGGCUGCUUCGCCACCAUCGUGGCUUUUUAGUUGGCUUCCAGGUGAUGCAUGUCUGUGCUGGGCUUGUCACUGGCUCGGCCAAUGCCCUGACUAGCCAUUUGACUUCUGGUGCUCCCAAGAUGGUGGUUCAUGUAAAAAAUAUCUUUCCUUACCUUAAUAAAGACCGACUUUGGCCUUUCGAAUACAAGCUAGACACCAUAUGCAACAUGCAACCACAUAUGACACCGCGAAGUUAAAGCAGGCACCUGGGAUGGUGGUUCAUUGGGAGCGAGGUCAUCGACUACAGAGCUACGUUUACCGUCUCCAUCUGCUGACACUGCAACCUUUAAAUGGCUGAAACGUGUCUGGCCUAGCCGCGUACCAUGCUGGAGCAACUUCUUUUUUUCCUGCUUUUGUGAAGGCAGCAGAGUCUGAAAUACCCUUGCAUAAAAACACAAUAGCGAGAGUAUGGGUGAAGUGUGUGCAGAACUAGUGCACUGUAAAAGUAGCAGAUAGCAGGUGGCUGAAAAAUAAAUGACACGAGACAUAUGAUAGCUCUACAACAUUCAAUGGCAAACAAAAUUAGAUUGUACUCUGUAUGAUUUUGUAAUAUAUGAGCACAGGAAAUGCAGGUACUCCUACAACACACCACCACAUGUGGUCCUAUCACGAUAACAGUUGUCUGAAAAUAAAUAGGUCAGUCGAUUUUUUAUGAACCGUCCGAUCUAUAAGGAAUGGGCAGAUGGCCUUCGUCUACCUCCCGCCAGUCACUGUUGACGAUCUUUCUCGAACCUCCAGCGACCACCGGCCCAAACCCCUGCCUCCGCCGCCCCGCCCUCCCCUCGACCUCACACCACCGCCGUGCUUGGCAGUGCCCCCAGGCCAUCCCUUUAAUCCUGGCCGACCUCCAGAUCGGGUGCUAGCAGCUCUAGGCCCCACACGCCCCUAAGAUAAACACCGAGGUGCUGCUUCCCCAGCGUAAUAGGCGGACUAGCGCCUGUUAUGCCGGGGAAUGCUUCCGUUAAUUGGGAAUCAACUGACCAGGAAUUGAAAUUCAGGGGGGCGACGGACCUCUAGCUAAGGUGAAAUAGUAUAUGAGGAGAAACCUUGUGCAUCACGAGUAACUAGGAACAUCUAGUAUCAAGAAGAAGCGGUCAACUAGUGUCUUCUGUGGGAUGAAUACCGUGCAAGCAGACACGUAAGAUUUGCACGAAUAAGGGAAGAGGAGUACCAUUUCCGGUUGCCAGUGUGUUCGCCUCCACCUGUCGCGCCGAUCUUCUUCUUUUUGCCGGGGAAACCGAUGUUUUGGAGGAGGGUGCAGGCUUGGACGAACACGUGGCAAAAUUGUUGACUGUGUUGCCGUGGCCGUAUGCCGGCGGAGGGGAAGCAGAUCCGAGGCGGCGAAGGACGGCGUAGCAGGAACAGCUCCGGUGCGGUGGACAGUGGCGAAGUUGGAGCGGCAGCGGUGAGGCGCAGGACGGCGUGGUUGAACUGACUCGGGUACGGACGGCUCGGCCUCGGCUUCAACUACUAGCCUUGGAGGGUGUUGCGGUUGAGGUUGCGGUGGACGACGAUGUCGAGGUAUCGGCUCCGGCAUGAUGGAGGAGGGCGGCGGUUGAUGGGUGGGUUGGGGUGGCGGACGGAGGAUGCCGGGGUUUCGCGGUUGGUGGUGAGGUAGUUUUGGCGCCCAUGGAGUAUGAAUGGGGAAUCGGAUGGGGGGCGGGGGGAGCUAAGGGAGAACCAUGUUUCGGUCUGGGACGCGCUUGUUUUUGGCUUUUUUGAACAGAUGGGACGCGCUUGUUUGAAAUUAGGGGAAAGUACAAACUUUGCCCCCCUCUUAAAUUUCGGACCUACUGCGGAUCGGGGGUAGGAUGGUAAUCCCAGGUGUCCCAAAUAGUGGGCAGGAGCGAUUUUGGCCGCGCGCAUGUGUUCUUAGGCGGCCAUUGUGUAUGAAUGUUUUUCGGAGGCGGUUGCGUGGCGUCUAGAUGAAGCUACAAACCUACCCCGGUUUAGACCUUUGGACGUUGGGCUGGUAGGUUUCACAGGUCGGAGUUAGAAAAGUAAUUUCCUUCUACUACCAAACACUGGUCUCACGCUGUUUCGGGCGAGUAGAGGCUCUUUUGGCGCUUCGUUCGAAAUUUUGAAACAGAAGCAUUCACGUUUAGAGUACUCUUGAACUUUGAGGAUUGACCUAAAUAGACAACGUUAAAUUUGACCUUGUAUGUUUGAAAACCUCAUUAAAUUAUCCGCUUUUUUGAAAUUUUGACACUUGAAAAUCCUAUAACUACGAUUUUUUUGGAAUGGAGGAGCUAAAUUUGUAUCUAUUUUGUACACGACUAUAUAUGCUAUUAUGUACAAAAUCAGAGCAAAGAUUGGUGCCCCCAUAAUUUAGGUAUGACUUACAAAUGCCAUGAUAUCGAAUUCAAAUAAUUUAAUGGACUUCAUGUUGAAUUCGAUUUUUUUAAACCACCUUAAGUUGAAUUCAAAUGUAUCCUAGUUCAUAGCUAGCUAUUUAUAAUGUUCAUUGUGUAACUUUCGUAUGUUUAAUGUGCUUUACACACACAACAUGAACUAUACUCACGUUUAUAUUCGAUUGCUAAAGCGAUGCAGUGUCUGAAGUUCAAAAUACUAACUAUGUGGAUCAAUUAUGUCGAAUAAUAACAUAGACAUGCUCAAAUUCGAUAGAAUCUAGAUGUCUGAUGUAUCAAUGACCGUUCCUUACGCGAAUCGCAAAUAUCAUGAUCCCAUCCUAAUAUUUGGAUACAAUUUAUAUCUUUAAUCAAUGUGUACAUCAGUCUUUUACGUGUAGUUUCACUCUCCAUCGGUGGUCUCUCACACAUGCUCACACACUCUCUCCCGAGGUGUCUUUCUCGCAUACAUGCUCUCUAUAUAACCCUCCCUCCCUCUCGUAACCAUUUACGACUGUUUUCACUAACCUUUAUCACAAGCACUCUUCCUCUCACAAGCAUACACACGCACAAUCCCCGUCGACCCUUCCUAUAUACAUAGACCUGCCUACGUGUCUCCUGUACGCACAUUAUCUUUAGGUCCGUCUCUCAUGCAUUGUCUCACAGCUCUCUUCCUAAUCGACGAGUAUGAUUCUAGCAGAGCAUUCUGUAGGAUGCCCCUUAAAGUUAGGUUGGAUGAAUAGUAAUAUCAGAGAUAAGGGGUUACCUUAGUCCAAGAACUCGGGUUACAAAUCCUAGCCGGCUUUGUUAGUGGACACAGAGUCCUUCACAAUUCUGCUAUCGUUGUCUUGUAGGACAAGUCAUCCAUGGGUCUCCCUAAAUGCGUCACGGGCCGACCAAUGUGGUGCGGGAACCGAACCAAGGCCCUCACCUCCACCCACCGGACCUCACGUGGUGACACACCCUCUGCCCAAAGGUCUCGUUAUCUUCUCACACCCACACAUACCAACACGGACACCACACAAAAAAAAUCUCCUCGUUCCUCUAUCCCCACCCCCCUUGCAUAUACAGUUAUACACACUCAAGGGAACCUCUCGCCGUGACAUCACAUUAGUCUCUAUCUAGACCUCUCUCAUUUCUCGUGCUAUCUCUCUCACGCCCCCUUCCCGCGCCGGCCCCUCUAUCCAUGCCUCUCUCGAAUACGUAAUACACACACAUACCUCUCUAGGCCCUGCCAAAUACAUCAACUACACAUUCACACAUGUUACAUCACGUACCCCAUUGAUCUAAAAAGCCCUCUCUUCACGUUUAUUUCGCAUACAACAUUCCUUUUGAAUAAAGUGUGGCCAAAAAAUUAUUUUAGAAUUUCUACAUAUAUACAACAUUACAAAGUUAUAUGGAGGAGUCUGAACGUUAAUUUGUUGCAUGGUGCCCACAAUGAUAUUUAUUCUGCACUGUGAAUUUUUAUAUUUUUAUACUAUAUAUAAAGUUAGUCAUAAUAAAGAGAAACGAAGAGCAUCUCUCUCCCCAUCGCAUACACCCCCUCUACGCCCCUUUCACGUACGCACACAAACUAUCUCCAGGUCCUCUAAAAUUAAGCCCCCAGCACAUUCACAUAUGUUUCAUCUUUCUCUCGCGAUAUAUACAGUGACGAUCAUUGUAUUUAGAGCGAAAGCACGUACAUUGGACUUCAGAAUCCACUCAUUAUGGUCACCUUUUAUCUUUUGUGGUUAUUAUACAGUCACGGGCUCACCGUACAGCUCUGUAUUUUCUCAAGACACGACUAGUUGACCAGUUAAACGCUCCACGUGGCACCUCUACUGUUGCAUCACAUUAUCUCACUACCAUUGGGCCCACCUGUCGGCUUGUAUAUACUCUUCUACACUCUUAUAAAAAACAGAGUUGGUCUUGAUGGUGUGCCUGCCAUCCUGCAAUAUAGGCCAUCCGAUUUAUAUCUGACGGAUAGGAAGGAAACUAUGGCAAUUUUGCAAAAAGGUACACACACACCUCUCCACAUUUGCAAAUAAGGCCUUCCCUCGUUCAUCCUUUUCUCUCACAAGAUAAACUAGUCAUACAAAUGCUCUUGAUGUUACGUGCAACGCACGGGCAUCUUGCUAGUAAGAAUGAAAACAAACAACAACAAAAUAUUGGACGGUGGUUCGAAGUCAUGACCGUGGGCACAUCGGACAAGGGGGCCUUGUAUUGGUAUGCUGAGCCAUCUGUUUUAACGCACAGGAGCUGGUGUGGUGAUUAUACACACACGCACGCAUGCACACGAACUGCAUGCAUGCAACACUCACACGAACACAUGCAGCCACGCACACACGCAACACUCACACAUACACACGCAGCCACGCACGCACGCAACACUCACAUGCACACGCACGCAUGCAUUCACACGCCACACGACCAACACACACUCUCACGCUCAAGUGCUCAACCUACACGUGCAUGCGCACACAUCAGGCCCUGACAGACACAUACACAACCAGGUGAUUCUCGCGCACGGGUUGGAGUCUUAUCGCGCCUGCAUAAAUUUGUGUUAAUCUGACCUUUUUCCUAUGCAAACUGACAGGUGGGACCCACAAGGAACGUGGUCAAUUUAACUAGUCAACAUGGUGCCACGCAGACUAUUUGGCCGGUCAACAGAGUGCAAUCCGAUGCUGAACGGUGAGCAAGUGAUCGUAUAAUCACCGCAAAACGUAUAUAGUGACCGUAAUGAGCGUAUUCUGAAGUUCGGUGACCGUAUUAUGCUUUCUCUCUAUAGGCCCUCCAAAACUACAUCUCUACACGUUCUAGCAUGUUACAUCUAACAACUAUGCAAUACAGCACUACUACUACACUCUAUCAUAAGAAAUCAUAUGUGUUUUUAGUUUUACUAGAUAUCAUAUUGUUACUUAAUUAUUCAGUUUGCAUACAUUAAAAUUGCCUUUGAAAUGUAUGGCCAGUAUCAUCUACCGCGCGGGAAAAAUCCCGCCCUUUCCUGUUUAAUCGGGUUUGUAUCGAUGGAUCAUGUGAAACAGCAAAACUAUAGUACUAGUAUACAGUACAAGCGACAGUUCACUGGGCCGCCGUGUCAUGUACCCCUCCGUCGUAAGAGUGGAGCGCUCGCUUUCAUAAAUGUUCUAGUCCCUUUCGGACAUGUGGGACAUCAAGCUACUGGGUCCACGUGCCAUACCGAAAUACAGUGCGAAGCAGCAGGGGUGAAGCACCCCAGUCAUGGCGCCGGCGUAGUAAUGAGCAAUGAGGCGUCAAAUCAGAAAGCUGCACCUUUCCCGUAGUUAAGUUGGAGGGACGAAGUAAUAAUAAUGCUAGUAAAAAAAGAAGUUGGAGGGAUGAAGCAACCAUCAUUUCACUCAUUGCUGAAUCCGCUUCUCCCUCAUCUUCUUCAAGUUAACCACGUGUUGCUUCUGCCGUUGUUUUGCCUCAUGUGGGACGCGGAUCGGUUUGGUAAAGCACUGACACAUGGGACCGCAUGUUAGCAAACCGCCAGGCCAACGUCCUCUAAAAAUAAGAAACCUCCCCUGCCAUUCGCGCGGCAAAAUCACCUCCUUUUUACUAAUCUUGAUUCUAUAAUUUUUUAGAUCAAUAUAAUUGAGAUUUGUAUAGAUACCACACAGGAGCAAAACCAGGUGGUAUGGUUAAGGGCAUCCACAAUGUGUAGCCAAAUGUGAAAAUAGCUUUUGUCAUCGAUGGGAACCAUUUGUGGACGGUGCUGCCAAAGCCAAAAAGAUGGAACCGAAGCUCCCUGAUUGAUUGAUUGAAGGAAUAGAAAAAUGCAACAUCUCUCCUCUCUCUCCUGUGCUUGGACGCAUGUAUAGUAUAGAGCACAUAGUCUACUCCCCUAUCCCUUCUAUCAUAAAUCAUAAAGCAGUGAGGCGUUAAAUCACAAAGUAGGGACGAAGAAACCAUCAUUUCACUCUUCGCUGACUCCGCUUCUCCAUCAUCUUCUUUGAGAAACCACAUCACCGCACUAAGCUGGACGGACGACGCUAUUGUGUACUAGUAGUACUAGUACAUUUACGCGUCCUUUGGUUCAACGGACUUCCUGGAUGCAAAUAAGGCGGUUGUCUCGGCUUGCAGGCGGCACUUGCGAAUGACUUAGCGUGGUCUCCCUCAAUGGUGUUCUCCGUCGAACGCACUUCGCCAAACCACAACAUUCGAGAUAUCGUCGAUGUCGCCGCAAUGGGGAAGGAAGACAAAUAGUUACUACCUCCAUUUUUUUGUACACCAGGCCAGUAUAUCAAAAUUACAAUUUGCAAAAGGCCACUAACACUAUUCGAGGCAAAAUUGAUGGGGUUUGCCUCGUACUAGCAACCAAGGACAUUAGUAUACCCUUGCAUGCAUGCGGAAGUGAGAAGAUUGGUUUGCAUGUCACUGCAUUAAUCAAGCGAUGAGGAGUGAGAUGGUUAGCUCUUUGGGCUUUGGAGAAAAAAUACACAUUAAUUGACACGUUAAACGAUGAUUUGUAUCGAACCGCACCCUCACACGGUCGCUCCCGCACGCUGCGGUCGCACCGCAGCCUCACACAGUCGCUCUGCACGUCGCAAACCCAACCAAGGGAACGCACCCUCACUGACACGUGCUACCGCUGACAGAUAAUUUUCGUUCAUACAUUAUGUUUAUCCAACCACAUGUUGGGGUGGAUCCGUACGACCCGUGCGGUGGUCUGUCGGGGAAGAAGAAGAGGUGAGGAAGAAGGGUUAGGAGACGUAGGAUAUUCAUCCAACCGCCUGAAAUGGUAGACUGACCCAAAUGAUGAAAGUCAGGCGACUUGCAUAACAAUAUAUGUUUUCACACAGCAAAAGAUCCCUAAAAACAACAACAUAAAGAAAAACUAUCACUGCUCGCGGAACGAGACGGCCUCGUCGUCUUUGGCUGCUGGCACGAACCAGCCGUAGCUGCCGACGUGUGUCUGCACACCGUGGUUGUCCUCGGCCUCCAGCUACUUGUUCACGCGGAGCGUGCGGGCGCUCUGCACGGACGAGAGCACCGCUCGGUUCAAGUCGAGGACGUGCGGUUCCGCCUGCAGGAGGGCCUCGAUGGCAGCGGCAUUCGCGCGCCCCGCGUCGAGUUGAGCCUCUGCCGCCCGGUUCAAGUCCAGGACGCCCGGUUCCGCUUGUAGGAGGGCCUCGAUGGCAGCGGCAUCUGCGCGCUCCGCGUCGGGUUGAACCUCCGCCGCCCGGUUCACAUCCACGACAUCCGGUUCCGCCUGCAGGAGAGCCUCGAUGGCAGCGGCAUGCACGCGCUCCGCGUCGAGUUGAGCCUCUGCCUCCCAGUCCUCCUUUAGUAUCGCCAGGUUGAACCGCUGGUCCGCCUGCACCAUGGGGGACCCGGACGCCGGCAGGAAGUCGACGUCCAUCGUCUCAUAACCAUCGGGGGCCUUCUGCGCCGCGACCUCCGCCAUGAACAUUGGAUCGGCUUCCUCCUCCUCGUAGCUUGGCUCCAGAGAACUCGGGGAUUGGCCCGCCGCAAAGCGAGCUUGCGAAUGGAGGUCUGUGGGGCCGACCGCCGCCGCGAUUUCUGCACGGCGCUCCGGUGUCAGCAUCUUGUAGUACAUGAUCUUGUGGCGCACCAUGGCUUUCCGGCGAACUAGGGGACGCUUGUUGCGGGCUAGGGGAUCGAAAGGUGGGGGAAUAGGCUGGAGAGGAGGUGUGGUUUUGGGGCAGUAGCUGGCGUAGGCCGAGCAGCGAAGGUUCUGGUGUGAAUAGUGGUUCCGGCCGAGCAGCGAAGGUCAAUCGGUUUCGACUGUACAUCGCUCUUGUCGCGUUCCCGUUGCACCCCGGCACGCUGGACCCUCCACAUCGUUCACCGAAUGGAACGCGCUUCGUCUUGCAUUUUCUCUCGCCUGUGGGACCACAAUUGAGAGCAAACCGACGUCCCUCCCCCUCCCCCGCCUGCGUCAUUUGUACUACCACUCCCUCCUUUUUAUGCGGAGUAAAUAAAAACAGAGGGAGUAUACUAUGGAUGAGGAUCCCCUGACAUGGCCGAACCCAUUGAGUAACUGACAUGCGGGGCCUAGCAAGCAUGGGUCCGCGAGUAAGUGACCGAAAGGGAGGGUAAGGCAGGGAUCCUACGUCAGAGGAUCCACUUCCACUACUACUCCCUCCUUCCAUCUACAGGGCCUAAUGCGUUUUUCGAGGCUAACUUUGACCAAAUGUUAGAGUAAUAAUAUAUGACAUGCAACUUACACAAAGCAUACGGUCAAAUUCGUAUGUGAAAGGAGCUUCCAAUGAUAUAAUUUUCACAUUAUACAUCUCAUGUACUAUUAAUCUUGUCAAUAGUCAAAGGCGGUUUUGAAAAACGCAUUAGAGCAUGUUUAAUAAUAUAGCCAGCCGAUGGCUAUAAGGAACUGCCAUGCCAUCUAUCGCCAUCAUCUAUAUGCACUCAUACAAUAGAGUGGGCUAUAAGGUUGGCUAUUUCCCGCAAAAAUAUAAUAUAAAAGGUUGGCUAUUGUAUUAGUACUUUUUCCCAUCUCCUCUCUACUAUCUCUUUCUUCAUAUUUAUUGUAUUUACCUAGGAAUGCGUAUAUAGCUAGGCUCUUGCAUGAGAGCUCACUCCCCUUAAUGGCUAUUAGGUUGGCUCUAAGCAUUUAAUAUUUGCAUGAGCAAGGUAUAUGAUUGGAAGAGAGUUGCAUGCAUACUUUUUUUCUUGAUCUAUGUGUUAUGCCCAGGCUGUAGAAUAUAAGAGCCUGCUUCACUCUCUCUCCUCUCUUCUCACUCCCCCAAGUAGGAUUUUAAUGACAUGACAAGACUUAUAGCCUGCUGACUAGGCCUUAUUAGACUUGCUCUUAGGCCCUAUAUAAAUGGAAGGAGGGAGUACUAUGAGCACUGCAUACUCUACUAUAGAUGUUGUCAAUACUCCACUAGUACUAUUGGACAGGGAGCUUAAAAAAAGUUACUAUUGGACUGGCUAUACGUGGCGAAAUCCUAGUAGGAAGAGCAUGCGUGAGAACAAGCACAUUCACGUGGUUGAAACCAAAUUGGAAACCAUCUCUGUUUGAAUACAAAUCUAGGAGUACGUACGAAUCUAACAAUAUUGAUUGGGCGUUGUUGAAUGUUGGUACUUUUUUAUGUAAGUUUGAUCAAAGUAGAGAUACUUUGACUACACAUCAAACUUAUAUGUAAACUAGAAAGGAUCGGAGGGAGUAUAUUGUACGUUCAAAAGCGAAACGAACAUUGAAUACCCUUUAUAUAUGAUUUGCGGAUGCUAUGAUCACCGGUUCAAAUUUUUGAAUCCGCCUUAGGUAUCACACAUGCACCCACUCGUUUUCUCUCGAUUUCAUCUCGGGGUCCAGAGAUCGAUUGAAAGAGGACUAGGGUGGGUACAAUACGUUCGUUUCUCUUAUGAACGUACAAUAUACUCCCUCUGAUCCCCNNNNNNNNNNNNNNNNNNNNNNNNNNNNNNNNNNNNNNNNNNNNNNNNNNNNNNNNNNNNNNNNNNNNNNNNNNNNNNNNNNNNNNNNNNNNNNNNNNNNNNNNNNNNNNNNNNNNNNNNNNNNNNNNNNNNNNNNNNNNNNNNNNNNNNNNNNNNNNNNNNNNNNNNNNNNNNNNNNNNNNNNNNNNNNNNNNNNNNNNNNNNNNNNNNNNAUUCUAUCAUAGAAACAGACCAAACCUUUAUCUCCUUGCACAACACACAAUUGAUCUCUCAAACAUCAAUCAAUCUUGUCAAGAUGUGUCGGGGCAUGAACCGAAUGGGAUGUCAAAACUAAGAUGGGAAGCGACACGUAGUGGAGGCAAAGUGAAACUUUAAAUGAACCGUUUGUUUGUAUGCAUGUCGUACAAAUUACAACAUUGGAAAUACAAGCGAAUGAUACUCGGCGGAAUGUUCAAAUGACGCAUCCGGGAGGAUGGACUCGACCAGAGGGCGGCAUGAUCGAUGGAGAAGAGGGUUGGAGAGGAAUGAGAAAUAAGCAACGCCGCAUGAUUAUACUUGAACGGCUCAAAUAAACAAUAAGUUGUCUCGUUUUCCCUUCCGUCUUGGUCACGGAGUAAGAUACUCCCUCUGUUUUUAUUUACUCUGCAUAUUAGCUUUGACUGAAGUCAAACUUCAUAAAAUUUGACCAAGUUUAUAGAAAACUAGCAAGAUGCCCGUGCCUUGCACGGAACAUCAUGAUCUUGUGGGAGAAAAGGAUGAACGAGGGAAGGCCUUAUCUGCAAAUGUGGAGAGGAGUGCGGGUAAAUUGUCAUAGUUUCCAUCCUAUCCGUUAGAUAUAGAUCAGACGGCCUAUAUUGCAGGAUGGCAGGCACAUCAUCAUCACCAACUCUGCUUUUUUAUGUACACUAGCAAGAUGCUCGUGCGUUGCAUGGAACAUCAAGAUGCAUUUGUAUGAGUAGUUUAUCUUGUGGGAGAAAAGGAUGAAUGAGGGAAGGCCUUAUUUGCAAAUGUGGAGAGGGGUGUGGGUAUCUCUUUGCAAAAUUGCCAUAGUUUACGUCCUAUCCGUCAGAUAUAAAUCGGACAGACUCUUAUAAAAAAUAGAGUUGGUGAUGAUGGUGUGCCUGCCAUCUGGCAAUAUAGGCCGUCCGAUUUAUAUGUGAUGGAUAGGAAGGAAACCAGGGCAAUUUUGCAAAAAGGUACCCACACACCUCUCCACAAUUGCAAAUAAGUCCUUCCCUCGUUCAUCCUUUUCUCUCACAACAUAAACUAGUCAUACAAAUGCAUCUUGAUGUUACGUGCAACGCACGGGCAUCUUGCUAGUAAGAGUAGAAAUAUGAACAUAUACAAAGCAAAUAUAUAUGAUGUGAAAGUAUAUUCAAUAAUGAAUCUAAUGGUAUUGAUUUGUUAUUGUAUAUGUUAUUAUUUCUAUCUAUGAACUUUGUGAAAGUUUACAACGUUUGACUUUGAGCAAAGCUAGCUAAAAUGCGGAGUAAAUAAAAACAGAGGGAGUACGCAGGGACUAGUAUAGUUACUACUACCGGAACAUGGUAAGUUGGACCCCUAAAUGCGGGCACGGACCGGGCACACGUCAAUUAUUCUUUCAAACAGUCGGACACCUACAUUUAGCACACCUUUCGGCUACUUAAUCAAGUGUUACGCUUCACUACUUGAAAAUGAAAAGGGUGGCACCAUACCCAAAACCACCACACCUGGGGCUAGGGUAAUAACUUGGUACUGUACCACAUUUGAACUAGGGCACAAAAACCACCUGUUCUGCGCCUAAUGCGCAACGCGGAGCACUGACGCUUGAAUAUGGCCAGGAAAACAGGGAAACCAACAUGUGGGGCACACCUGUCGGGAUGAUGUGGCGCGGACUAGUCCAAUGGAGGAGCUGGCCAACGACCUCCUCGCCACCGGCAACCGUUCAUGUGGGUCGUGGGGGCCAGCAAUGUGGCGCAGCUCCAGCACCGCCUCUGGACAGGGCGACCGCGGUGAGCGACACACUCAUUGUCGCUGGACACGGUCGGUUUCAGUGUGCCAAGGGUGGCGUUAGCGUUGUGGCACGACCAGCACAUCAACACCCGGCUCAUCGAGGAUGCACGGGGCACCGAAGUGCGCGCGCGCCGCGACACAUCUGCGGAGUGGUGUAGCGCGGCCAACUACAUCCCCAGGACCUGAGACCAUCCCGGGUCUUCUUGCUUUUUCAAUGACAUGUGGGGUCGCAUGUGAGCAAAGGGCAUCUCCAACGUUGCCACGAACGCAGCUGACUACCCUGGCACACCAAUAACCCUCGUCCCUCGCGCCGUCGCACGGUGUGUUCCUAGCCGGCGCAAGCUGCCCGCAUUCAUGCCGUCCGUCCGUAUGCUGUCGUUAAGAGGCUCUGUGCCCGAGGAACAAACUCCGACGACUUAAUUACGCGCCCGAAAGCUUUGGCCUCACCGGAAUGCGCUACUUAAAGCGGCAAUGCCCAGCUAACCUCCACACCAUAGCGCAUCGUCCUGCUACCUGGCACCACAUCCGCCAUGACUGCAAGCGCGAACGCUCUGCGGGAGAGCUUUUUCUUUGGGUAUGAAGCACGAGGUCGCCGCCCUCGCUGAAGUCGCCGCUCGCGAUGCAAUAGCAGCGUAGCCGGAUGCGGACGCGACCGCACAAGCGGUGGCCACGAUUGCGGCCGACGACGGGAGCACCGUCAGCCACGCGUCCUACUUGCCGCCGUCCAACUUCCGGCACCGCCGAGGUCAGGGACUCCUCCGAGGAUGAGUUGGGCAUGGGAGGCGGCAGGACAUGGUGUGCCAACAGGCCGGUCCGUCUCCCGUGUUCUACUCUUCCUCACCGGAGACCGCACCUUCGUCUUGAACCCCGCCCCCGUACAUGGAGAUCGCAGAUGGAGGACGUCGGUCGCCGCCGUAGAAUAGGUUUAGGGUCGGGUUUAUUUUAUUUUUCUGUCCUAUAAAAGUUCGAAAUGUAAUGAAAAUUUGCCAUGUUUGCAUUAAUCUCGGCCGGUGUAUAUGAACUUUCACAAUAAUAUAGUAUAUUGUAGGAGUACUAGCAAGAUGCAUGUGCGUUGCAUGGAACAUCAAGAUCUUGUGGGAGAAAAGGAUGAACGAGGGAAGGCCUUAUCUGCAAAUGUGGAGAGGAGUGCGGGUAAAUUUUCAUGGUUUCCUUCCUAUCCGUUAGAUAUAGAUCGGACGGCCUAUAUUGCAGGAUGGCAGGCACACCAUCAUCACCAACUCUACUUUUUAUUGAACCGAGACAAAGCUAACAUGCGAAGUAAAUAAACACAUAGGGUCUACAUACACAAUUUAUCUUAGGCACUCCAAUAGUACGUCCACUACACAUUCACGUAUUUCACAUCUUUCUACAUCUACGGGAACCUACGAAAGGGUUAACGUAAAUUGCCUCUCUCUCUCCUCCCUGAUUUUCAUGGUGGUGUGCCCCUCCCUCCCCCAAUCUACAAUCAAUAGCUCACACGUUUCAGAUUAUGUUAAUUACGUAACUGGGAUUAUGUAGGUGUAGCAUUACUCGUCCAAAAAACCCAACUAAGCCAACCUCCCAGCAUAUCGCGCGGGAAAAGACCCUGUCGCGCCAUUUUAGUCGGGAUUACCGGAUUACUAGUAGUAGUACCGAUGGAUCGUGCGAAGCACCAAGUUUUUUUGAGGGGGCGAAGCACCUAGUUUAAAAGGAAAAGGGGGUGCACUCAUAGCACCCCUGUCGCGGUCGCAUUGCACCCCACACACGUUCAGUCCUGCACACGGCUCACGCAAACAGAACGCACUUCGGCUUGCCUCUUCACUGACACGUGCGACUGCACUUGGAGAAACCGACCAUGCGCGAAACUCCCACCGCCCACNNNNNNNNNNNNNNNNNNNNNNNNNNNNNNNNNNNNNNNNNNNNNNNNNNNNNNNNNNNNNNNNNNNNNNNNNNNNNNNNNNNNNNNNNNNNNNNNNNNNNNNNNNNNNNNNNNNNNNNNNNNNNNNNNNNNNNNNNNNNNNNNNNNNNNNNNNNNNNNNNNNNNNNNNNNNNNNNNNNNNNNNNNNNNNNNNNNNNNNNNNNNNNNNNNNNNNNNNNNNNNNNNNNNNNNNNNNNNNNNNNNNNNNNNNNNNNNNNNNNNNNNNNNNNNNNNNNNNNNNNNNNNNNNNNNNNNNNNNNNNNNNNNNNNNNNNNNNNNNNNNNNNNNNNNNNNNNNNNNNNNNNNNNNNNNNNNNNNNNNNNNNNCCACUCCAUUCACUCCGCCAAAGCCGCCCUCCCCACGGCGCUGAUACGUCGGCGCCGCGGUUCGUCGAGGGGAUGCACGACGAUCCUCUCGCUCCCACAGUACGCUCUCGUAGACUGCCGUCCUCGAGCCGCGCCGCCACCGCUGGCGAUGUUCUUGUGGAGGCGCACGGCGGUCAGCACCGCCACCGCUGGCGACAUUCGUGUGGAGACGCACGGCAGUCAGCUUCUCCCACGGUACACACAUUCUAGACUGAGGCCCCGUGCAUGUCGGUGUAGCGCUGAAUGUUAGCUGAUCGACACUGUUAAUCUCACUGUUUGCCGAAGUAGUUUACAGUCAAUAUGCUCUGCUUAAGAAGCUUCCUUGCCCUAUUCUGCACUCAAUCUGCUUAGCUGAGAUGGCAUGCCAAGCCCGAUUAGUUGCUAAAAUAUCCUGCCAUAUAUUUAUUGUGACAUAGAUUUCCAUGAUCUAGUAGCUAAUCUGUUAGGUGAAAUAGCUCUACACCGUUUUAUACUCGAUCUUUGUUGCUGCGAUGGCUUUCAAUAGUUCGAUGGCUGUGUGCUCGGCCUCAUUGACUGCUGAAACAGCCUGCCAUAAUUUAGCACUCAAAUCUGUUUGUUGAAUUAGCUUUAAAUAUAUUUCGUUACUUAGAUUUGCUCGUCCAAAUAUUUUGCCAUAGCUUUAGACAUCGAACUAGGUAUUUUUUCUGGACUUCAAAAAAAGCGUAUGUGUUUUUCCUGCAAUAUCUAGUAGAAGAACUAAUUUGUAUGUCUAACAGAUGGACAGGACUUGGAUAACUUCUGCUCGAAGAUUCUCCGCUGCAUAUGUCGAGGGGGUUGAAAACUUCAUGAACUUUAUCAGAGUUGAGUACGGUGGUCCAAAAUCAGAUGUGCUCGGUCCGUGUAGCAGUUGUAUGAAUUCAGUUACAAGACCCCAGUCAACUGUGGAAAAUCAUCUACACUUGUAUGGGAUGUCGGUCACAUAUACUAGGUGGGUUCAUCAUGGUGAAGCUGUGAACGUCAAUGUUACUAACUACGUGGAAGCAGCAGAUCACCAUCUUGAUCUGCCUGAUGCUCGGGUGGAAGAGGAGGAGGAGGAGGAGGAGGUGGUGGCGGAGCCAGUGAGUUUGACCAACAUUGAAACAAUGCUACGAAAUGCUUGUGCAUUUCGUGAACUUUCACCUGCAGAAGAAAAACGGUGGGCCCGCAUGUUGGAACAAUGCAACGUGGCUGUCACCCAGGAAAUAAGCUAUCAUUAUUCUCAGCUAUGGUCACCUUUCUUCAGGUGAAGACAUCUAAGCGGAUGACCAACAAAUCAUUCGAUGCGAUGUUGGCUGCUUUCCGCAAAGCUUUCCCAGAUGCGUCUGAGCUGCCACACACCUACAGUAAAAUGAAGAAUUUCCUUCGCGUAGUUGGAAUUGGAUAUGAUAUGAUCCAUGUUUGUAAGAAUAAUUGUGUUCUGUUCCGGAAGGAUUAUGCCAACUUAAGUGAAUGCCCGAAAUGCAAAUCAUCAAGAUGGAAAGAUGGCGAUGCUGUGAACAGGAUUCCUCAUAAUGUUCUGAGACAUUUUCCAAUUACACCAAGAUUGCAGAGGUUGUUUCAUGAUGGUGAAAAAAAAGAGGAUGUACUGUGGCAUUCUAGGAACCAGGAGUACAAAGAUCAGAAUGUAAUGAGCCAUCCAUCACAUGGUAGUGAGUGGAAAAGCUUCAAUCAGAAAAACAAAAAGUUUGUUGCUGACCCGAGAAACAUUAGACUUGGCUUAGCUUCAGAUGGAUUUAACCCAUUUGGCCACCAGAGCGCCACAUAUAGCAUGUAGCCAGUGCUUGUUAUCCCUUACAACAUUCCUCCAAAUGUCUGCACCAAAGAAUCAAACUACAUGAUGGCCUUGCUCAUCCCAGGUCCAAAAAGUCCUGGAAAGGAUUUUGAUUUAUUCAUGGGGCCUCUUGUGGAGGAACUUCAACAGCUAUGGAGGGGUGUUCUCACUCGAGACCUAUAUAGCAGCCCACCAUCUGAUUUCUUUCUGGGUGCUGUUAUAAUUUGGUGCAUCCAUGAUUAUUCGGCUUUGGGCACUAUGUCAGGGCAAACAACACAUGGUUACAAUACAUGUGUUCGCUGUGACAGGAAUCCGCUGUCAUACGCAAUACCUAGCAAGAUCUGUUACAUUGGACACUGCCGUUCCUUGCCAAGGACAAGCCGCGUCCUACAAAAUACCGAAGACAUGUGUUCAAUGCAAAGCAUGAAAACCGCGAUGUGCCAAAGAGGCUCACCGCCGAUGAGUUGCAAGUGGAAUUAGAGAAUGUCAGGCAUAUUACACCAAGAAACCAUCCUGGUAAUGGUAGCGGGAAAAGGAAGCAUGGCAGGGCAGAAGAGAGAUUAUUGUUUACCUGCAGGUCCACUUUGUGGGACUUGGAGUGUUGGAAAGAUUUGGAUCUGCGGCAUAAUCUUGAUGUGAUGCACAUCGAGAAAAAUAUAUGUGACAGCAUUAUCGGCAGACUUCUUAAUAUUGAAGGAAAGACGAAAGAUACCUUAAAAUCUAGGAUUGAUUUGACACACCUGGGUAUCAGAAAGGAUUUGCAGGUGUAAGAUGAAGGUGAACCACGGGAUAUGGCACCAUCUGUGUACGUUUUGGACAAGGCAAAAAGAAAAGAAUUCUGCGAGGUCCUGUCACAUGUGAGAUUCACACAUGGAUUUGCUUCCAACCCUGGAAGGAGGGUCAGUGCAGAUGGAAACAAGGUACAAGGGUUGAAAACUCAUGACUGCCACGUCCUAGUUCAAAGGGUUUUACCUGUUAUCCUUAGAGGAAGGGGCUGCUCUGACUUAUACAGAGCAGUUGCAGGGUUGGGACAAUUCUUCAGGGAACUCUGCAGUAGAAAUAUUAUGGUAGAUGCUUUGGAGCGUAUUAGAGACAAGAUACCAACUAUCCUAUGCGACCUUGAGAAGAUAUAUCCUCCAGCCUUCUUUGAUCUGAUGGUGCAUUUGGCUGUUCAUCUACCUGAUGAGGCACUACUUAGAGGUCCAGUACAGUAUGGCUGGAUGUACCCUAUUGAAAGGCGGCUCGACACUUUCAAGGGCUAUGUUAGGAACAGACCUAGACCCGAGGGUUCCAUUGCAGAGGCCUAUAUUGCUACAGAAGCGUUGACAUUCUGCUCAAAAUACAUUGAAACAGCUAAUCAACUUAGCAAAGAGGUGGGUGAAGACAAUCCCGGGCUCAAUGUUUUCGAUUAUUCUGUUUGAGUUACAGGGAAGAGUCGACAAGAGGACAAACCUAUUGAUUUGGAUAAAAUGGAUUGGUAUGUGUUGAAUAACUGUCCUAAGAUACUACCUUAUAUCAAGUAAGUGCUAAGUACUGCAGCUUAUACAUCGUAAUCUACUAAACUUGCAGCACAUUCUUAUAUAUUUAGAUGUUUGAUGCGAUCACUAUGUUGUGCAGCAUCUACAAAAAGGAGUUACUGCCGCAAAAUCCAAGAAACAUUGACAAACUGGUUAUGGCAGGAUUUGCGAAAUGGUUCAGGAGCCAUGUAAGCUUUUGAAUUGCACUAUCAGUUUUUUAAUAUAUUGAGUACAUAAGAUGAUCAGCUUGUCUAUUUUCUAACCAUAGGUUAAGAAGAUGCAGGAGGAUGGGAAGGCGGUUGAUGAUGCCCUUUACGCACUAGCAAUGGGUCCUGAUACUCGGGUAAGACAUUAUGAAUCUUGCGUUGUUGGAGAUGUGCGCUACAACACCCUUGCACACGACGAAGGCAGGAAGACACAAAACAGUGCCAUCAUGAGCACGGAUAUGUACGACAGAGAGACAACUGAAAUGUAUGCUAACAUAACAGACAUUGUUCAUCUGAAGUAUAUCUCCAGUUUCGAGGAUCAUCGGUGUGUGGUUCUGUUGUGUUGUCGUUGGUAUAACCUGUUUUCCAGGAUCGCAAAACCUAGAGCUAAUGAUUAUUUCAAAUCCAUCAAUGUCAAGGCGGCGUACCAGACCAACGAGCCUUUUAUUUUGGCAAAUCAAGCAACACAGAUAUUUUUCUUGGAAGACACAUUUGCACGUAGUGAUGACUGGAGAGUAUUGCAAAAGGUUUGAGCAGAGGAAUUCAUUUAAUGAAGUUGCACAACAAGAUGAUGCUUACGCUGCUCCUGAUGUACAAGAUUCCACAGAUGUUCCUAAUAUCUUUGAGAACCUUCACGUCAAUGACGCUGGCGAAAAGAUUGCCUGUCGUGCUGUGGACAUACAAGAGUUGAUCAAGACAAAGCCAACGUUCGAGGACAUUGAGGAUGAAGAAGAAGAUGACACUGUGGGGACUUAUGAUUCAGACUGAUACACAGGGCGAAGAUGUUGACGCUGCUGCUGCGGAUGAUGAUUAGAUUGCUUUUGUCGUAUUUGCCUGUCAGAAGAUGUUUUUUAUCUACUAUGUGAAAUUGUGUUUGCUAUGACAAUUGAAACCUGAUGAACGUGUUGUUUAGUAUUUUGCUGUGAGAACAUCACUUGUUAUGUAUGUUCAUUUGUGUUUGGUGACUGUAUGACGACUAAAACAUGAUGACAUUGUUGUUUAGUUGUACUCAUAUUUGGCUGUGGAGCUUGAAUUUGAUGACAUAGUUUGCUGUUGGAAUGCAAUUUGCUCGACGUCUUCGAAUGGGAACAAAGCUGACCCGACAGGGCCUCUGCUAAUUUAUUUAUUUAUUACCAAAAGGGCCUAUUCUAUUUAUUAAUUUAUGAGCAAAAGGGGAUACCCCCCGAUUUCUAUUAAUAGAAAUCAUUAGAUGUUCACAACACUACGCCCAGCCUGCUACACAGGUUUCAUUCAUUACUAGCUUCAGCAAAGUGCUCAUGUCAUAGCCACUGAAUACAUCACGAGUGCUACAUACACUGCAAAUAACGAGACAAUCAUCCUACAGAGCACAACGAUUUUGCCCAUUAUCUUCACAAGCUCUUUCAUCUCCUCAUUGCUGUCAAGGCCAUUCAGCAGCUGUUGCUUGGCCAUGUUCAGAGGAACUGCAUCUUUAACCUUCUGCUCUGCAUCUUCCUCUUCUGCCAUUCCUUUAGUUACUUUUCCAACACCCAACCUGCUGGUAUUGGGAUUCCUCGGCUAACCAAAUAAUCAGCGUAGUUGCGUUCCCCCACAUCAGCAACUUCCCAGAAAUACAAAUCACCCGAAUCUUCCCGUUUCUGCAUGAAUCAAAUUGGAAGAUCAUCAACUAAACUAUUAAAAAUAUCAGCAACUGAAAGCAGCAGAACAACACUUAAACAUAUUAUUACCCCAUGAUUCGGGCAUUUGUAGAAGACUCGGCCAGGGUUGAGGAUUGUGGUUGAGACGCGACGGAUAACUCUGCGUGAUUUGCAGCAGUGGCACCACACCAACGGCAGCGGGUUACGAUGAGAAACCGGCUGCGGUGCGUGUGCCGGCGGGGGUGUGAUGAGACCCACAGGCGAUGGUACGGGUGGCUGAAGGAAAUAUGCCCUAGUGGCAAUAAUAAAGUUAUUAUUUAUUUCCUUAUAUCAUGAUAAAUGUUUAUUAUUCAUGCUAGAAUUGUAUUAACCGGAAACUUGAUACAUGCGUGAAUACAUAGACAAACAGAGUGUCACUAGUAUGCCUCUACUUGACUAGCUCGUUGAUCAAAGAUGGUUAUGUUUCCUAGCCAUAGACAUGUGUUGUCAUUUGAUUAACGGGAUCACAUCAUUAGGAGAAUGAUGUGAUUGACUUGACCCAUUCCAUUAGCUUAGCACUUGAUCAUUUAGUAUGUUGUUAUUGCUUUCUUCAUGACUUAUACAUGUUCCUAUGACUAUGAGAUUAUGCAACUCCCGUUUACCGGAGGAACACUUUGUGUGCUACCAAACGUCACAACAUAACUGGGUCAUUAUAAAGGUGCUCUACAGGUGUCUCCGAAGGUACUUGUUGGGUUGGCGUAUUUCGAGAUUAGGAUUUGUCACUCCAAUUGUCGGAGAGGUAUCUCUGGGCCCUCUCGGUAAUGCACGUCACUUAAGCCUUGCAAGCAUUGCAACUAAUGAGUUUGUUGCGAGAUGAUGUAUUACAGAACGACUAAAGAGACUUGCCGGUAACGAGAUUGAACUAGGUAUUAAGAUACCGACGAUCGAAUCUCGGGCAAGUAACAUACCGAUGACAAAGGGAACAACGUAUGUUGUUAUGCGGUCUGACCGAUAAAUUACUUCGUAGAAUAUGUGGGAGCCAAUAUGAGCAUCCAGGUUCCGCUAUUGGUUAUUGACCGGAGACGUGUCUCGGUCAUGUCUACAUAGUUCUCGAACCCGUAGGGUCCGCACGCUUAACGUUACGAUGACAGUUAUAUUAUGAGUUUAUAUGUUUUGAUGUACCGAAGGUUGUUCGGAGUCCCGGAUGUGAUCACGGACAUGACGAGGAGUCUCGAAAUGGUCGAGACAUAAAGAUUGAUAUAUUGGACGACUAUAUUCGGACACCGGAAAUGUUCCGGGUGAUUUCGGAGAAAACCGGAGUGCCGGAGGGUUACUGGAACCCCCCCCGGGAGAAGUAAUGGGCCUUAUGGGCCUUAGUGGAGAGAGAGAGGGGCAGCCAGGAGGGGCCGCCCCCCUGGUCCGAAUUGGACUAGGAGAGGGGGGGCGGCGCCCCCCUUUCCUUCUCCCUCUCCCCCUUCCUUUCCCCCUCCUAGUAGGAGUAGGAAAGAGGGGAGUCCUACUCCUACUAGGAGGAGGACUCCUCCUCCUCGCGUGCCAACAAGGGCCGGCCGGCCUCCCCCUUGAUCCUUUAUAUACGGGGAAGGGGGCACCCCAUAGACACAACAAUUGAUCUAUUGAUCUCUUAGCCGUGUGCGGUGCCCCCUCCACCAUAUUACACCUCGAUAAUAUCGUAGCGGUGCUUAGGCGAAGCCCUGCGUCGGUAGAACAUCAUCAUCUUCACCACGCCGUCGUGCUGACGAAACUCUCCCUCAACACUCGGCUGGAUCGGAGUUCGAGGGACGUCAUCGAGCUGAACGUGUGCUGAACUCGGAGGUGCCGUGCGUUCGGUACUUGAUCGGUCGGAUCGUGAAGACGUACGACUAGAUCAACCACGUUGUGUUAGCGCUUCCUCUUUCGGUCUACGAGGGUACGUGGACAACACUCUCCCCUCUCGUUGCUAUGCAUCACCUUGAUCUUGCGUGUGCGUAGGAAAACUGUUGAAAUUACUACGUUCCCCAACAGUGGCAUCAGAGCCUGGUUUUUUGCGUUGAUGUUAUGCACGAGUAGAACACAAGUGAGUUGUGGGCGAUUGAGUCAUACUGCUUACCAGCAUGUCAUACUUUGGUUCAGCGGUAUUGUGAUAUGAAGCGGCCCGGACCGACAUUACGCGUACGCUUACGCGAGACUGGUUUCACCGUUGCGAGCACUCAUUGCUUAAAGGUGACCGGCGGGUGUCUGUCUCUCUCACUUUAGUUGAACCGCGUGUGGCUACACCCGGUCCUUGCGAAGGUUAAAACAGCACCAACUUGACAAACUAUCGUUGUGGUUUUGAUGCGUAGGUAAGAACGGUUCUUGCUAAGCCCGUAGCAGCCACGUAAAACUUGCAACAACAAAGUAGAGGACGUCUAACUUGUUUUUGCAGGGCAUGUUGUGAUGUGAUAUGGUCAAGACAUGAUACUGAAUUUUAUUGUAUGAGAUGAUCAUGUUUUGUAACCGAGUUAUCGGCAACUGGCAGGAGCCAUAUGGUUGUCGCUUUAUUGUAUGCAAUGCAAUCGCCAUGUAAUGCUUUACUUUAUCACUAAGCGGUAGCGAUAGUCGUAGAAGCAUAAGAUUGGUGAGACGACAACGAUGCUACGAUGGAGAUCAAGGUAUCGCGCCGGUGACGAUGGUGAUCAUGACGGUGCUUCGGAGAUGGAGAUCACAAGCACAAGAUGAUGAUGGCCAUAUCAUAUCACUUAUAUUGAUUGCAUGUGAUGUUUAUUUUUUAUGCAUCUUAUCUUGCUUUGAUUGACGGUAGCAUUAUAAGAUGAUCCUUCACUAAAUUAUCAAAGUAUAACUGUUCUCCCUGAGUAUGCACCGUUGCGAAAGUUCUUCGUGCUGAGACACCACGUGAUGAUUGGGUGUGAUAGGCUCUACGUUCAAAUACAACGGGUGCAAAACAGUUGCACACGCGGAAUACUCAGGUUAAACUUGACGAGCCUAGCAUAUAACAGAUAUGGCCUCGGAACACGGAGACCGAAAGGUCGAGCGUGAAUCAUAUAGUAGAUAUGAUCAACAUAGUGAUGUUCACCGUUGAAACUACUCCAUCUCACGUGAUGAUCGGACAUGGUUUAGUUGAUAUGGAUCACGUGAUCACUUAGAGGAUUAGAGGGAUGUCUAUCUAAGUGGGAGUUCUUAAGUAAUAUGAUUAAUUGAACUUGAAUUUAUCAUGAACUUAGUACCUGAUAGUAUUUUGCUUGUCUAUGUUAAUUGUAGAUAGAUGGCCUGUGCUGUUGUUCCGUUGAAUUUUAAUGCGUUCCUUGAGAAAGCAAAGUUGAAAGAUGAUGGUAGCAAUUACACGGACUGGGUCCGUAACUUGAGGAUUAUCCUCAUUGCUGCACAGAAGAAUUACGUCCUGGAAGCACCGCUGGGUGCCAGGCCUGCUGCAGGAGCAACACCAGAUGUUAUGAACGUCUGGUAGAUCAAAGCUGAUGACUACUCGAUAGUUCAGUGUGCCAUGCUUUACGGCUUAGAACGGGGUCUUCAACGACGUUUUGAAUGUCAGGGAGCAUAUGAGAUGUUCCAUGAGUUGAAGUUAAUAUUUCAAGCAAAUGCCCGGAUUGAGAGAUAUGAAGUCUCCAAUAAGUUCUACAGCUGCAAGAUGGAAGAGAAUAGUUCUGUCACUGAGCAUAUACUCAAAAUGUCUGGGUAUAACAAUCACUUGAUUCAACUGGGAGUUAAUCUUCCGGAUGAUAGCGUCAUUGACAGAAUUCUUCAAUCACUGCCACCAAGCUACAAGAGCUUCAUGAUGAACUAUAAUAUGCAAGGGAUGAAUAAGACGAUUCCCGAGCUCUUCGCAAUGCUAAAGGCUGCGGAGAUAGAAAUCAAAAAGGAGUAUCAAGUGUUGAUGGUCAAUAAGACCACUAGUUUCAAGAAAAAGGGUAAAGGGAAGAAGAAGGGGAACUUCAAGAAGAACAGCAAACAAGUUGCUGCUCAGGAGAAGAAACCCAAGUCUGGACCUAAGCCUGAGACUGAGUGCUUCUACUGCAAGCAGACUGGUCACUGGAAGCAGAACUGCCCCAAGUAUUUGGCGGAUAAGAAGGAUGGCAAGGUGAACAAAGGUAUAUGUGAUAUACAUGUUAUUGAUGUGUACCUUACUAAUGCUCGCAGUAGCACCUGGGUAUUUGAUACUGGUUCUGUUGCUAAUAUUUGCAACUCGAAACAGGGGCUACGGAUUAAGCAAAGAUUGGCUAAGGACAAGGUGACGAUGCGCGUGGGAAAUGGUUCCAAAGUCGAUGUGAUCGCGGUCGGCACGCUACCUCUACAUCUACCUUCGGGAUUAGUUUUAGACCUAAAUAAUUGUUAUUUGGUGCCAGCGUUAAGCAUGAACAUUAUAUCUGGAUCUUGUUUGAUGCGAGACGGUUAUUCAUUUAAAUCGGAGAAUAAUGGUUGUUCUAUUUAUAUGAGUAAUAUCUUUUAUGCUCAUGCACCCUUGAAGAGUGGUCUAUUUUUGUUGAAUCUCGAUAGUAGUGAUACACAUAUUCAUAAUAUUGAAGCCAAAAGAUGCAGAGUUGACAAUGAUAGUGCAACUUAUUUGUGGCACUGCCGUUUAGGUCAUAUCGGUGUAAAGCGCAUGAAGAAACUCCAUACUGAUGGACUUUUGGAACCACUUGAUUAUGAAUAACUUGGUACUUGCGAACCGUGCCCCAUGGGCAAGAUGACUAAAACACCGUUCUCCGGAACUAUGCAGAGAGCAACAGAUUUGUUGGAAAUCAUACAUACAGAUGUAUGUGGUCCGAUGAAUAUUGAGGCUCGUGGUGGAUAUCGUUAUUUUCUCACCUUCACAGAUGAUUUGAGCAGUAUGGGUAUAUCUACUUAAUGAAACAUAAGUCUGAAACAUUUGAAAAGUUCAAAGAAUUUCAGAGUGAAGUUGAAAAUCAUCGUAACAAGAAAAUAAAAUUUCUACGAUCUGAUCGUGGAGGAGAAUAUUUGAGUUAUGAGUUUGGUCUUCAUUUGAAACAAUGCAGAAUAGUUUCGCAACUCACGCCACCCGGAACACCACAGCGUAAUGGUGUGUCCGAACGUCAUAAUCGUACUUUACUAGAUAUGGUGCGAUCUAUGAUGUCUCUUACUGAUUUACCGCUAUCGUUUUGGGGUUAUGCUUUGGAGACGGCUGCAUUCACGUUAAAUAGGGCACCAUCAAAAUCCGUUGAGACGAUGCCUUAUGAACUGUGGUUUGGCAAGAAACCAAAGUUGUCGUUUCUUAAAGUUUGGGGCUGUGAUGCUUAUGUGAAAAAACUUCAACCUGAUAAGCUCGAACCCAAAUCGGAGAAAUGUGUCUUCAUAGGAUACCCAAAGGAGACUAUUGGGUACACCUUCUAUCACAGAUCCGAAGGCAAGACAUUCGUUGCUAAAAAUGGAUCCUUUCUAGAGAAGGAGUUUAUCUCGAAAGAAGUGAGUGGGAGGAAAGUAGAACUUGAUCAGGUAACUGUACCUGCUCCCUUAUUGGAAAGUAGUUCAUCACAGAAACCAGUUUCUGCGACACCUACGCCAAUUAGUGAGGAAGUUAAUGAUGAUGAUCAUGAAACUUCAGAUCAAGUUAUUACUGAACCUCGUAGAUCAACCAGAGUAAGAUCCGCACCAGAGUGGUACGGUAAUCCUGUUCGGGAGGUUAUGUUACUAGACCAUGACGAAUCUACGAACUAUGAAGAAGCGAUGGUGAGCCCAGAUUCCGCAAAAUGGCUUGAGGCCAUGAAAUCCGAGAUGGGAUCCAUGUAUGAGAACAAAGUAUGGACUUUGGUUGACUUGCCCGAUGAUCGGCAAGCCAUUGAAAAUAAAUGGAUCUUCAAGAGGAAGACGGACGCUGAUAGUAGUGUUACUAUCUACAAAGCUAGAAUUGUCGCAAAAAGGUUUUCGACAAGUUCAAGGUGUUGACUACGAUGAGAGUUUCUCACUCGUAUCUAUGCUUAAGUCUGUCCGAAUCAUGUUAGCAAUUGCCGCAUUUUAUGAAAUCUAGCAAAUGGAUAAACAAAACUGCAUUCCUUAAUGGAUUUAUUAAAGAAGAGUUGUAUAUGAUGCAACCAGAAGGUUUUGUCAAUCCUAAAGGUGCUAACAAAUAUGCAAGCUCCAGCAAUCCAUCUAUGGACUGGUGCAAGCAUCUCGGAGUUGGAAUAUACGCUUUGAUAAGUUGAUCAAAGGAUAUAGUUUUAUACAGACUUUCGGUGAAGCCUGUAUUUACAAGAAAGUGAGUGGGAGCACUACAACAUUUCUGAUAAGUAUAUGUGAAUGACAUAUUUUUGAUCGGAAAUAAUGUAGAAUUAUUCUGCAAAGCAUAAAGGAGUGUUUGAAAAGAGUUUUUCAAAGAAAGACCUCGGUGAAGCUGCUUACAUAUUGAGCAUCAUGAUCUAUAGAGAUAGAUCAAGACGCUUGAUAAGUUUUUUCAAUGAGUACAUACCUUAACAAGAUUUUGAAGUGGUUCAAAAUGGAACAGUCAAAGAAAGAGUUUCUUGCAUGAGUUACAAGGUGUGAAAUUGAGUAAGACUCAAAGCCCGACCACAGCAGAAGAUAGAAAAAGAAUGAAAGGCAUUCCCUAUGCCUCGGCCAUAGGUUCUAUAAAGUAUGCCAUGCUGUGUACCAGAUCUAUUGUAUACCCUACACUGAUUUUGGCAAGGGAGUACAAUAGUGAUCUAGGAGUAGAUCACUGGACAGCGGUCAAAAUUAUCCUUACUGGAUUAAGGAUAUGUUUCUCGAUUAUGGAAGUGACAAAAGGUUCAUCGUAAAGGGUUACGUCGAUGCAAGUUUUGACACUAAUCUAGAUGACUCUAAGUCUCGGUCUAGAUACAUAUUGAAAGUGGGAGCAAUUAGCUGGAGUAGCUCCGUGCAGAGCAUUGUAGACAUAGAAAUUUGCAAAAUACUUACGGAUCUGAAUGUGACAGACCCGUUGACUAAAAUUAUCUCACAAGCAAAACAUGAUCACACCUUAGUACUCUUUGGGUGUUAAUCACAUAACGAUGUGAACUAGAUUACUGACUCUAGUAAACCCGUUGGGUGUUGGUCACAUAACGAUGUGAACUAUGGGUGUUAAUCACAUGGUGAUGUGAACUAUUGAUGUUAAAUCACAUGGCGAUGUGAACUAGAUUAUUGACUCUAGUGCAAGUGGGAGACUGAAGGAAAUAUGCCCUAGAGGCAAUAAUAAAGUUAUUAUUUAUUUCCUUAUAUCAUGAUAAAUGUUUAUUAUUCAUGCUAGAAUUGUAUUAACCGGAAACUUGAUACAUGUGUGAAUACAUAGACAAACAGAGUGUCACUAGUAUGCCUCUACUUGACUAGCUUGUUGAUCAAAGAUGGUUAUGUUUCCUAGCCAUAGACAUGAGUUGUCAUUUGAUUAACGGGAUCACAUCAUGAGGAGAAUGAUGUGAUUGACUUGACCCAUUCCGUUAGCUUAGCACUUGAUCGUUUAGUAUGUUGCUAUUGCUUUCUUCAUGACUUAUACAUGUUCCUAUGACUAUGAGAUUAUGCAACUCCCGUUUACCGGAGGAACACUUUGUGUGCUACCAAACGUCACAACGUAACUGGGUGAUUAUAAAGGUGCUCUACAGGUGUCUCCGAAGGUACUUGUUGGGUUGGCGUAUUUCGAGAUUAGGAUUUGUCACACCAAUUGUCGGAGAGGUAUCUCUGGGCCCUCUCGGUAAUGCACGUCACUUAAGCCUUGCAAGCAUUGCAACUAAUGAGUUUGUUGCGAGAUGAUGUAUUACAGAACGAGUAAAGAGACUUGCCGGUAACGAGAUUGAACUAGGUAUUAAGAUACCGACGAUCGAAUCUCGGGCAAGUAACAUACCGAUGACAAAGGGAACAACGUAUGUUGUUAUGCGGUCUGACCGAUAAAGAUCUUCAUAGAAUAUGUGGGAGCCAAUAUGAGCAUCCAGGUUCCGCUAUUGGUUAUUGACCAGAGACGUGUCUCGGUCAUGUCUACAUAGUUCUCGAACCCGUAGGGUCCGCACGCUUAACGUUACGAUGACAGUUAUAUUAUGAGUUUAUAUGUUUUGAUGUACCGAAGGUUGUUCGGAAUCCCAGAUGUGAUCACGGACAUGACGAGGAGUUUCGAAAUGGUCGAGACAUAAAGAUUGAUAUAUUGGACGACUAUAUUCGGACACAAGAAAUGUUCCGGGUGAUUUCGUAGAAAACCGGAGUGCCGGAGGGUUACCGGAACCCCCCCCCCCCGGGAGAAGUAAUGGGCCUUAUGGGCCUUAGUGGAGAGAGAGAGAGGGGCAGCCAGGAGGGGCCGCGCGCCCCCUCCCCCUCUGGUCCGAAUUGGACUAGGAGAGGGGGGCGGCGCCCCCCUUUCCUUCUUCCUCUCCCCCUUCCUUUCCCCCUCCUAGUAGGAGAAGGAAAGAGGGGAGUCCUACUCCUACUAGGAGGAGGACUCCUCCUCCUCGCGCGCCAACAAGGGCCGGCCGGCCUCCCCCUUGCUCCUUUAUAUACGGGGAAGGGGGGCACCCCAUAGACACAACAAUUGAUCUAUUGAUCUCUUAGCCGUGUGCGGUGCCCCCCUCCACCAUAUUACACCUCGAUAAUAUCGUAGCGGUGCUUAGGCGAAGCCCUGCGUCGGUAGAACAUCAUCAUCGUCACCACGCCGUCGUGCUGACGAAACUCUCCCUCAGCACUCGGCUGGAUCGGAGUUCGAGGGACGUCAUCGAGCUGAACGUGUGCUGAACUCAGAGGUGCCGUGCGUUCGGUACUUGAUCGGUCGGAUCGUGAAGACGUACGACUACAUCAACCGCAUUGUGUUAACGCUUCCGCUUUCGGUCUACGAGGGUACGUGGACAACACUCUCCCCUCUCGUUGCUAUGCAUCACCAUGGUCUUGCGUGUGCGUAGGAAAACUGUUGAAAUUACUACGUUCCCCAACAGUGGCGACUUGGCGCAUAUCUGGUUGUUGCCUGCUGAAGAGCAGGUGGACGAGCAGCUAGCGGACAUGGUUGUUGUGGCCAGAGCUUCUGAUGCUAGGCAGAGUAAGUAGAGAAGAGGAGAAGCGUACGUUGGACAUGUCAGUUUCAUUACUUGCAGAGUAGCAUAGCACCAUAUAUAGACAUAGUCUAGGUUUGGAUUCGAACCAGCUACAGGAGCACGUCUCUCUUUUUUCUAAAACUCGGCAAUGUCUCUUUACUCGUACACUAGCUUGUUCUGUACACCUUCUCAAGUCUUUGAUUUUCUUUCUUUUUUCGCGAGGAAGGAAGGAGGACAAAAUUGAGAUUUCCUGGGACUCGAACCCAAACCUCUCGGUUGAAAACCAAGGGUGCUAGUCACUUAUGUGGCGAACGUUCCCUGGGAGGAGGAUGGCAGACGAACGCAUUUUCCUCACAGUUUUAGUUGCGAUGCAAGAUCGAACGGUCGCAGUUUCGAGAAUAUUAUCAGGCGAACGAGCCCAGUUUUUCUUUUCUUCCUAUAUAUAAAAAAGUAUGCUACUUGGUGUCAGCUUAGUCAACAAACGAUUGUUCCGACCUUGACCACUGGAUUGACAUUCAACGUCUGUCGUGUUUCUUCAGUCUCUUCUUCCUCCAGCCGCCAAAGCCAAACCAGCACCGGCGGGACCGCCUGCUCCCGCCUCCCAUGGCUGGCUGUGCUGCCGAGCACACAUUGUGGGCACAUCGCACCCUAAAACACUGCGCAUCUUCCCCGGCUCCUGUUCGUUCCCGUCCGAGGCACCUUGGUUCGCUCGCCGCGGCGCCGCCCUCCGGUGUUGUCAACAUGGUCAACAACCGAGAGGAAUAAGGAGAUGACUGUACAUGGUGAGGAUGACAGUAGGGACCCAGCAGCGCGUGCAGUAAUUUUGUUUUUUCAGGACGGGCAAGGGUAUCAACUGGGUUGUUCGGAGUUGUGGCCCGUCUAGCACAUGACCAGCCAAGUUUGUUUUUUUCCUUUCUGAAAAUGGCUAGCCCAGCUAUUUUGUUUUUUUCAGAAUAACCAACGUAGGCCUACUUGUUUUUCUACGCCCUGCUGGGCCAGAAAUCUUUCAAGACGAGGAGGGAUGCAUUUUGCCCAGAAAAUGGGCUAUAAGUAAUAAGAAAUGGGCUAUAAGUAAUAUUAAAUGGGCUGUAAAAUGAAAAAAUACAGCAAACAUGCAAUUAGUUCCAAAAUACUUUUUUCUUUCGGAUUUUGAUAUUUUAAAUUUCAUUGUUUUUGUGCGGGUAAAAUUUCAUUGGAUUAAGGUAUGUUUAGUGUUUAAAUUAAUUUGAAUCUGGAUAGAAAUUUUGGGCUGUAUGCUGUAUGGGACAGAUUUGGAGGCUGACUUGUGGGUCUACUAGGUUGACGUGUACGAAAGGCUUUGUAUACUUAGUCCACAAACGAUUCUAGCAGCAGUGACCGUUGGAUGUUAAUACAAUAGCCAUGCUACUUCUUCAAUAUCUGAUCUUCUUGGUCCAACCGCCCAAACCAGCGCCGGUGGGACUGCCUGCUCCUGCCUCCCGUGGUCGGCUAUGCUGCCGCACAGGCCGCACCGCCUCACCCUAAUCCAUUGCUGGCCAGGCCAUUCCUCUACUCACCCACACCUCCUGUUAUUUUACGGCGAUGGCAGCCGGACCAGUAAACCCUUGUACUCCCCACCACGUGGGCAACCACUGCCGAGUCUUCCCCGGCUCUGUGUCGUUCCCUUCCUAGGCCUCGCUGUCGUCCACCGCCAUGGUGCUCUCGGCGCGCCGUGGUCAACGUGGUCAACGAACGACAUCCAUCGGACGUGGACUGUACGUGAAGAGGCCGACAGCUGGGUCCACAGCCGCAACAAGGAAGUGCCUCCUUAUUACACGCAAAAUAAUGAUUCCUCCACCUGACAGCCGGGACCCACCGGACGGGCCACCGUAUUUCACAAAAAAAACGUUUCCCCCUGACUGCUAGGACCCACCAGCUACAUCUUCGCAUGCAAGGAAGUGCCUGACAGUCGGGACCCACCUGGUCGAAGCGUACGUAGAGUUGUCAUUCUGGUCGUGAACGUGUACGUACAUACGAUCGGUCUGUCUGGAGGCCGCAGUGAUGAAUCGUGGCCGUGCAAGGAAGGGCAUGUGUCGAGAGGCGUGCACAUGUUGUAGUAGAGGCGCGCACGUAGCAUGUGCACGUACGUACAGCGCCCAGGGUGCAAGAAAGUAAAUACGGCCAUGUACGUACAUACGAGCGGGGUCUCAAACGCCUACUCGCGCAUACGUACGGCCAGGGCUUGUGUACAUUGCUGGGUCGGAACGGAGAAACUGCGUCGUUGUCAUGUUCAUGGGGAUCCAACCGGCUGGGUCGGAACGGAAUGCGUCGUCGUCUUCAUCGGGAGCCAACUGGCUUGGACGGAACAGCCGACGGAAACGAGGCCUGCCGUAUCGCAGAACGGAGGAAACGGCCUUGUGUUCGACCGGCCAUGGUUGCAACGGGAUCAUGUUCAUCAGGAGGGGUCUGGCGUACCGCAAAACAUAGGAAACGGACUUCUCUUGGACCUCCUAUGGUCGAAACGGGGUCCUGUUGACCGGGAGGGGUGUGGCGUACCGCAAAACGGAGGAAACGGACUUGUGUUGGAGCGCUAUGGUCGAAGCGGGGGUCCUGUUCAUCGGGAGGGGUGUGGCGUACUGCAAAUCGGGACUCCACGGGAUACUGUUCAUCUCCACCGUCAACCCUCCUCCAGCCUCCACGGGCUACUGUUCAUCCACCGUCGACCUCCUCCAGCCUCCACCUGCGACUGUUCAUCCACGGGCUCCUGUUCAUCCAGCCUCCACCGCUCCUCCACCGGCUAUUGUUCAACCAGCCCUCUCCACGGGGUCCUGUUCAACCACCCCUCCACGGGCUACUGUUCAUCUAGCCCUCCACCGGCUACUGUUCAACCAGCCCUCCACGGGGUCGCCCUGUUCAUCCAUCCCACCACCGGCUCAAUCGAUCGGGGUCAUGUUCAUCCAGCGGCAACGGCCUCUACUACCACAGGGUCCUGUUCAUCCAACCCCCCACCGGGAACUGUUCAUCCAAACCCCCAACAACGCUCACAGUUCAUCCAGAGGCAGCAUCGAUCGGCUUCAGUUAGCAGCAGUAGCGAAGGAAUCACUCGGGUUCAGUUAACAGCAAGGGAUCAAUCAAUCGCUCGGGUUCAGUGUAACGCGUAGCCUGCAGUGCAAUCGCUCGGGUUCAGUUAGAGCCAACGCCUCGCUCGGGUUCAGUUAGAGCCCAACGCCUCGCACCCACGCGCGUACGUGUACGAGAGAAACGUGCAUCGCUCGGCCCCCGACCACCCAUCGUGACCGGGAACUCCCUGAUAUUUUCCGCGCCCUCGCUUCUACCACGGUUUUUUUCGUCAUGGACGGCCCAAAGAAUGCCAUGCAGCUGCGUCUCUGGCCCGCCCAGGACGAAAAGCCCAUUUUCUGUCAUGAUUUUUUGUCAUAGAAGUAGGACCCCACCACAUCUAUGAUGAUACUUGGUUUUGUCACAAUUAUCGUCAUAGAAGUUUGAUAAGUAUGACAGCAUUUUUUCGUUCGGCCCAAAAUGUCACGGAUGUGUCUUUUUUUGUAGUGUUGUAUGGAGACUUGAACUCCUCCAUCAUGGUCCUUGCCGCAUCCAUCAACGUCCGGUUCUUCCUCUCCGCUACACCAUUUUGUUGAGGGGUGUAUGGUGCGGAGUAUUGAUGCUUGAUCCCCUCAUCACUAAGAAACUCAUCCAAGGUGUAGUUCUUGAACUCGGAGCCAUUGUCACUUCUUAUCGUCAAGAUCUUUGCAUUGUGUUGGCGUUGAGCUUCAUUUUUAAUGUCAAUGACGGUUUGUUGGGUCUCAAUCUUCCUCUUGAAGAAGUAUACCCAAGUGCAUCUUGAAUAAUCAUCCACAAUCACCAAGCAAUACUUUCUACCCCAAGACUAUCAAAGGAUGGAGGCCAGAGAGAUCCAAGUGAAGGAGCUCCAAAGGCCUCUUCAAGUAGAUGAUAGUCGUGGGAGGGUGAGCCUUCUCAUGUAGCUUUCCUUCGAUACAAGCACUGCAAGCACGAUCUUUGGCAAAACUAACAUUUGUUAGUUCACGGACAUGGUCCCCCUUGAGAAGACUUUGCAAAGAUCUCAUAUCUACAUGGGCUAAACGGUGAUGCCAAAGCCACCCCACGUCAACUUUAGCCAUUAGGCAUGUCACGGUAUUAGUGGGUCGCUCCAAAAAGUUAAUCACAUAAAGACCGUUCUCGACAUGCCCAAUAAAGGCUACUUUAAGAGUCUUGCUCCACAAGAGGGCCACUGUAUCAAUAUCAAAGAAAGUGGCAAAGCCCAUGAGUGCAAGUUGACGAACGGAAAGUAAAUUGUAUGCAAGGGACUCAACAAGCAUGACCUUAUCGAUCGUGAGAUCUUGAGAAAUGACAACCUUGCCAAGACCCAAUACCUUAGAAGACGAGGCAUCACCCCACUCGACAUUGGUGGGCAUAGAUGGAAUCUUGUGCACGUCCACCACCAAGUCCUUGCUUUUGGUCAUAUGAUUUAUGGCUCCACUAUCGAGAAACAAUGAUCCUCCACCGGAAGAAAACACCUACAAGAGAUCAAUGCUUGGUUUUAGGUACCCAUUUUCUAAUGGGUCCUUUGAUGUUAGUAACAAGGGUCUUAGGAACCCAAAUAGACCAUUCAAUGUACUCAUAAGGAGAACCAACAAAUUUAGCAUAAACAUGCCCAUCACUAGCACAGCAUAACACAUAAGAAGGGUUAAAGUCGUCGGCUUUGUUGGAAGGGGUGGCAUUGCCCUUCUUGACACCACCGCCCUUCACAUUGUUCUUCUUAUCCUUAGAAGCACCCUCUCCCUCCUUCACAAAAGUUUGCUUGAGAGGAGGAGGUCGUUUGGCCUUGUCAUUCUUCUUCUUGUUCUUGGACUUGGGUGUGAACCCAAUUCCCUUCUUGGCCACAACUUCCUUUUGAUUGCUCAAAAGUUCAUUGAGGUUCUUCUCACCUUGUAUGCAAGACACAAGGCCUUUCUCAAGUUGCUCCUUCAACUUUGCAUUCUCCUCCACAAGAUGCACAUGCUCACAACAUGGGUUAGUAGCAUUUGCGCUACCAAUUAAAACCAUACGAGGAAAAGUGGCUUUCUCCUUGGUUAGCUUCACUUGGAGUUGAUCAUGAGACUCUUUAAGGCUAUCAUGAGUACCUUUCAAGGCCUUGUGAGCCUUGUCAAGUAUAUCAAACUCCUCCUUGAGUCUAGCAAGAUCAACCCCAAGUUUGGCCUUCUCGGAAUUGAGCACACGAGAUACAACAAGAGCAUGAUCAAGAUCUUUGUUGAAUUUAGCAUGGUCAUUGUUGUGUGACUCCUCAAGAGGCAAACGAUGACCACGAUCUUCCUCAAGCGCGUUAGAGAGAUCCGAUAUCUCAUCGGCAUAGUCACGACUAUGCCCCUCCAUUUUAGAGAUGGUUUCUUCGUGAGCCUCGAUCAUGUUAUUGGCUUCACCAAGUUGUUCCAAGAGAGCAACAAAGUGCUUCUUGGAUUUACCCUUGAGCUUACUCAGAAAAGACUCAAAUUCAUUUUCCUCCUUGUUAGACCCCUCACUUUCAUCAAUGCAAUCCGUCAAAGAAGGAUUAGUAAUGUUGGUAGUUUUGAUGUUGGGGGUUACCUUGUUGGUGGCUUUAGCCAUGAGGCACUUGGCGGUGAUGUUCUCAUUGGGUGAGUCGAAGAGGGACACCCGUGGAGUUGUCGCAAUGGCAACGGAGGCCAUGGCAACCGACUCACCGUCAUCAUCAUCAUCAUCAUCAUCCUCAUUGUACUCUUCUUGUGCCACCAACCCCUUGGGAGGAGUCUUCUUGGUGAAGUUGUUCUUGUUGGGGAAGGACUUGGCCUUGUCUUUUCGGAUGAGCUUGCCACCAUUGUCUUCCCUCUUCUCAUAUGCGCACUCCGCAACAAAGUGGCUCACAUUGCCACAAUUAUAGCAAGUCCUCACACGUUGCUUGCCCUUGGCCCCACUUGAGUUGUUCUUGUUGAAGUUGGGCCUUGAGUUCUUCUUGCUCCAAAAUUGCCUUGAAGCGAGAGCCAUGUGCUCAUGAUAAGCAUAUUUUGUAUCUUCGGGGUUACUCUCCUCUUCUUCCUCUUCAUCCUCUUCUUCCACACUAGCCUUGGCCUUCAAGUCAAGGUUGGGCUUCUUUGCUCUUUGAGAACGCAACACCGCAUUGUCGGCGGUCUUGUCCAAGAUCCUCAUCGCCAGAAACUCAUCCAACACUUCACUUGAGGACAAGGUGUGGAAGUCCGGCCUUUGACGGAUGACGGAAGACAUGGCCUUAUGGUAAGGCAUCAUGGCCUUGAGAAACUUGCGCUUGAUCCAAUUGUCAUCCGUAUCCUUGCUCCCAUGAUCUCGGAGUGAGACCGCGAGAGUGGUUAAUCUCCGGUAAAGCUCACGAGGUUCUUCAUUUUUAUUCAUUGCAAACUCAUCGGCUUCAUCUUGCACCACUUCAUAGUUGGAGCGUUGAAUGCUUGCGCUUCCCUUGUAAAUGGAAACAACAUGUUGCCAUGCUUCCUUGGCCACGGUGAAAGGUCGGAGAUGCGCAAUAUCUUCGGAUGGAAUUGCAUCUUGGAUGAUGAAGAGAGCAUUCUCGUUGAAUUGAUGAUCCGCGGCUUCUCUAGGGGUGAAGUUGCUUGGAUCAUGCGGAUAGAAACCAUGCUCAAUGAUUCUCCAAAGAUUAGUAUUAACAUGAUUUAAAUGACGUUUAAAGCGAUAGACCCAAGAGUCAAAAUCCUCAUUUUUCACAAUCUUAGGAGGAGGACCAACAUGAUUCAAAUGAGUGGAGGGAACCGGUCCUCCAUAAGUAAGUGGAGGUUCAACAUGGGCAAAGAUGCCACUUCCAUUUCUACCACUAGAUAAGGGAACUUUGCCACUAGUAGCUUCCCCCUUGUCAGAGUUAGCAUCUGUCACCUUAUUAGCGGGAUCACCCACUUUCAUUGGUGCGGUGGAUAAUUUAAGGCCUUCUAAGAACUUGUUGAACAUGCCUUCAACCUCGGUCAUCAUGGAUGUUUUCAAUGUGUCCAAAGCUGCAUUGAAUUCCUCACGAGAGACCGAGGAUCCUCCAUCGUCCGUAGAUGAGAACAGAUUCACACCGGAGUGCUCCUCCCCACCGUCUACGGCGUCAACCAUACUCUUCGGACGACGAAGUCCUUAAUAAAAAGAUGAGGCUCUGAUACCAAUUGGAAGGAUCGAUAUAGUUGACUAGAGGGGGGAUAGGCAACUAAAUUUUUUUAGCUUUUCUUUACCAAUUUAAACUUUGCAUCAAAGUAGGUUGUCUAGAUAUGCAACUAGGUGAGCAACCUAUAUGAUGCAACAACAACAAGCACACACGCAAGCAAGGGAUACAACACGAUAUAGGCUUGCACAAGUAAAGGUAAGAGAUAACCAAGAGUGGAGCCGGUGAAGACAAGGAUGUGUUACCGAAGUUCCUUCCCUUUGAGAGGAAGUACGUCUUCAUUGGAGCGGUGUGGAGGCACAAUGCUCCCCAAGAAGCCACUAGGGCCACCAUAUUCUCCUCACGCCCUCACACAAUGCGAGAUGCCGUGAUUCCACUAUUGGUGCCCUUGGAGGCGGCGACCGAACCUUUACAAACAAGGUUGGGGCAAUCUCCACAACUUAAUUGGAGGCUCCCAAUGACACCACGAAGCUUCACCACAAUGGAAUAUGGCUCUGCAGUGACCUCAACCGUCUAGGGUGCUCAAACACCCAAGAGUAACAAGAUCCACAAGGGAUUAGUGGGGGGAAUCAAAUGUCUCUUGGUGGAAGUGCAGAUCGGGGCCUUCUCAACCAAUCCCUAGAAAAUAAACAAGUUUGAUUGGCUAGGGAGAGAGAUCGGGCGAAAAUGGAGCUUUGAGCAACAAUGGAGCUUGGGGGAGGAAGAGGUAGUCAACUUGGGGAAGAAGAGCCCCCUUAUAUAGUGUGAGGACAAAUCCAACCGUUACCCACCUACUCAGCCUGCGACAUGCGGUACUACCGCACAUACCCGCGGUGCUACCGCAUAGGCUUGCGUUACUACCGCUGGGAAGUGCGGUACUACCGCUCGCACGGCAGGAGCCAGGUGAGGCCCUGUUGCACAAGGCAACGGGCGGUAGAAUCGCCGGAGCGGUACUACCACGCGCCCUUGCGGUACUACCGCAAGGCAGGGCUCAUCCUGGGCUGGGAAGGCACGGACUAAUAAAAUUACAUCCGUGGCUACUUCCGCUGAGUUUCGGUCAGUGCAAAAAUCCGGCACGGUACUACAGCUCACAGGGAGCGGUACUACCGCGUAGGGUGCAGAAGUAAAAAAUUACUUCCGCCCCUACAUCCGCUCACGCCACCGUAAUGGGCCAGAGGCCACGGUACUACUGCGAUCCAGGAGCGGUACUACCGCACCUGCGAUACUAUCGUGGCCAGCUGCGGUACUACUGCUCCCUUGAGCAGUACUACCGCACGCCACAGACCAGCCGCACUGGGAGGCCAUCAUCUUCACAAUGACAAGGGGAACAACCGGUGCUCCAAUGAUGCGAGGAAAGGUGGUGACAAGGGGAACAACUGGUGCUUUAAUGAAGCGAGGAAAGGUGGUGCAAAGGAACAUAUGUCUACGUGUUGAUUCCACCCUAACCUUUCCGAAGCGGACACCCUCUUAAUAGUACGGCUUUUCUACGACUCAAUUCCACCGAAAAGAAACAUGGAGAAACGCCAUCUUCAAGAAGCUCCAAGGGGCACCGAAUCGUCUUGUGCCUAUAGAUGAGAUAUCUGAAAUGCUCAAUGCACACGAUUAGUCUGCAAAUGCAUUGUCAUCAAUCACCAAAACCACUUAGGGAGAAAUAUGCCCUUACAACACCGACAAAUGGAAAUAAAUGGACAUGAAUAUAAUGUCGGUGAGAAACACGUACUCCCCCAAGCCUAGGCUUUUGGCCUAACUUGGUAAUCAAUCAGUAGCCUGGAGGGUAGUAGGGGUGCUGAGGAGCAGGCAUCCACUCAUCCCACUGCCGAGGUUCUUGUGCUGCCUCCGCAAUAGUCUGAGCGUUCCGGUAGGCGAUGAUGUCUGCAGGCAUAAUCCUAUAUCCGCCCCUGGCAACAGAAUCAAACAAAGCAGGAGCAGGCAAUGGAAUAACAUCACGGGUCCUCUAACUAAAAACCAGGUUAUAUGGAAUAGGGAUGUCAGGAGAUUCGAUAUCAGUAAAAUGGUGGUGAUCCAUGGCGGCACGGUCUAGGUAAACCUUGGUCAGAGGAUAAUCAUGAGGGCAUAUCCCAACAUUAAAGUGGGCCGCCAAACGAGUAGCAUAAAUCCCACCAUGUAUUUUACCCUGAGAUUUAUUAAGGUGAAGGCGGCGAGCCACAAUAGCCCCCAAGCUAUAAGUGUUGUCGCCCUCCAGUGCACGACGUAAAACAGCAAAGUCUGGUGCAUUGAGCGCACCUACUUUCUCUCCAGCAAGCAAACACUUAGCAACAAAUAAAGCAAAAAAUGUAUGGUAGGAAAGUGUAUGCUAGCGGCGGUCGUAGCUGACACCCCUCUCUCAUCUCCCACUUUCAAAGUGCGAUAAAAGGCCUCAAACCCAGCUGGCCUAGGCUCGGCUAAGCUCCCAUCAGAAGGGAUCAUCCAUAUGUCACAAAAUUCAGUAAGUGGUAUCUGAUGGUUUUUAGCAUAUAAAUCAAAGCUCACUUCAGGAGGAUUAUUCCUAGGCAGGAAAGUAAAACUUUGAACAAAGAUGUUUGUGAGGAUUUCAUGCUGGUCACACUCAUCUGCGAUGAACUCGGUGAGGCCGACAUUAGCAGCAUAUUGUGUGAACUCUUGAAGGAUUCCCGCCUCCUCUAGGAACGGGGUGUGCGGCCAUUCACACGGUCGUACUUCCGCCAACCUCCGAGGAUGGAGAUCACUAUCAGAUGACUCCCCAAUAACACCCUUGGAGUUCUUCUUAGAGCCAAACUUCCUAAAUAUAUUCAUGGUUUUCCUAUGAACAAAAUUCUGAAAUUUAUUAGCCCACAAAAUUUUCUCAACAAAACUUGACAAAAACGAUACCAACUACUCAUAGGGAUACAUAGAGGCCAUAGCAAGCAUUCAAACUACUUAAAACUCUAAGAAUUCAACAUGCAAGCUCAUCUACAGCAGCACCAAGAGUAGCUAAUUAUUUCAAAUAUAAACCAUUAAAACAAAAACUAAUUGGACAAAUGGUGGAGUCACAUACCAAGCAACAACCCCCGAAACAGUUUCGGAAACUGAGCUUCGAGAAAAGAGAUCAAAAUCCGCGGGUUUGAGAGCAAGAACACGGGAGGGAGAGCAAUGGAGAUUUUUUUUCUGGAGGUAAGUGAUGAUGUGGAUGAAGAGGUAAGUGAGGGGGCCCACGUGGGGACCACAACCCACCAGGGCGCACCUGGGGGUCCUGGCGCGCCCAGGUGGGUUGUGCCCACCACACCUCCCUCUAAUAUUAUUUGCACCAGAAAUUCAGAAAUAUUCAGAAAAAAUUGUAUUAAAUUUUAGGGGCAUUGUGAGAACUUUUAUUUUUGGGUCAUUUUUUUAUUGCACGGAAAAUUCAGAAAACAGACAAAACAUGGCAUUUUAUUUUAUUUAACUAAUAAAAACAGAGAAUAAAAAGUAAGGACAGAAGGUAGUGCUUACUAAAUUCAUCAACUUCAUACCGCUCAAAAAUGAUUCAUUAAUAAGGUUGAUCAGGUUUUAUUAACAACUACUUUCGAUUAGCAUGAAGCCGAAGAACUUUCGCAAAUCACUAUGUUACCUCAAUGGGGGUAUGAAUGUCCCCAACAAUAAGCAUUUCAUAUUUCUUUUUGACAGUAGGUAGAGGUAUUUUAAAACUUCCAAUAGUGAUUGUCGGAGAUUUUUCAAUAACAUUAAUACCAUUCACUUGGAAUUGUUUCCUCGGAAAGUGCACCGUAUGCUCAUUACCAUUGAUAUGAAAAGUGACCUUGCUUUUAUUGCAAUCAAUAACAGCCCCUGUUGUGUUCACGAAGGGUCUACCAAGGAUAAUCGACAUGUUGUCGUCCUCGGGCAUCUCAAGUAUAACAAAGUCAGUCAAAAUAGUAACAUUAGCAACAACAACGGGCACAUCCUCACAAAUACCGAUAGGUAUGGCAGUUGAUUUGUCAGCCAUUUGCAAAGAUAUUUCAGUAGGUGUGAGUUUAUUCAAAUCAAGUCUUUUAUAUAAAGAGAAAGGCAUAACACUAACACCAGCUCCUAAAUCACAUAAAGCAGUUUUCACAUAAUUCUUUUCGAUAGAGCAAGGUAUAGUUGGUAUUCCCGGAUCUCCUAGUUUUUUAGGUACUCCAUCUUUAAAAGUGUAAUUAGCAAGCAUAGUUGAGAUUUCAGCUUCCGGUAUUUUUCUCUUAUUUGUGAUGAUGUCUUUCAUAUACUUUGCAUAAGGAGGCAUUUUCAAGAUAUCAGUCAAGCGAGUAUGCAAAAAGACUGGCCUCAGCAUUUCAGCAAAGCGUUCAAAUUCUUCAUCAUCUUUCUUUUUAGUUGACUUGGGUGGAAAAGGCAUAGGUUUUUGAACCCACGGUUCUCUUUCUUUACCGUGUUUUCUAGCAAUGAAGUCUCUUUUAUCAUACCUUUUAUAUCUUAGGUUGUGGGUUAUCAAGAUCAACAGGUGGUUCUAUCUCAACAUCAUUAUCUGGUUCUUUUUCAUUUAAUUGAGAGUAUUCAUGAACCUCAUCAUUCUCUUUUUCAUUAUCACUAGGUGAGUGUUCAUUGCCUGAUUGAGUUUCAGCAUCAGAGAUAGAAGUUUCAUUAUCAAUAUCAGGAGGUUUCUCUAUUUCAGAUUCACUAGAAGCAUGCAAAGUCCUAUCAUUUUUCUUUUUCUUUUUCUUUCUAGAAGGACUAGAUGCAUCAGUGUUCACUCUUUGUGAGUCUUGUUCAAUUAUUUUUGGGUGUCCCUCAGGAUAAAGUGGUUCCUGAGUCAUCUUACCUCCUCUAGUUGCAACUCUAACAGCAAAGUCAUGCAUAUUAUUAUUAUUAUUAUUCAUUUCAUCAAACAAUUCUCUUUGUGAUUUAGCAACUUGUUCUAACUGAGUUUGUACCAUAGAAGCAUGCUUUUCAACACCUCUAACAUCAUUUGAGAUUCUAAAUAACAAGUCACUCAAGCGAGCAAUCAUAUCAGAAUUAUAUUUCAAUUGUUUCAUAACAUUUGCAUUGAAGUGAUCUUGUUUUCUAAUAUAGUUUUCAAACUCAUAAAGGCAUUGGCUAGGAUGCAUAUUGUGAGGAUUAUCAUUAUCAUGGAACUUCAUUAGAGAAUUUACCUCUACCACCUUAGGCACUGGUGGUGCAUUAAGCCCAUGUAUUUCUUCAAUAGGAGGUAAAUCUUUAACAUCUUCAGCUUUAAUACCUUUUUCCUUCAUAGAUUUCUUUGCCUCUUGCAUAUCUUCGGGACAGAGAUAUAAUAUACCCCUCUUCUUCUGAGUAGGUUUAGGCGGUGGUUCAGGAAGUGUCCAAUCAUCAUAAUUUUUCAAUAUGUUAUUCAAUAAUUCUUCAGCUUGUCCAACAGUUCGUUCCCUGAAAACACAACCAGCACAACUAUCUAGGAAGUCCCUAGAAGCAUCGGUUAGUCCAUUAUAGAAGAUAUCAAGUAUUUCAUUUUUCUUAAGAGGAUGAUCAGGCAAAGCAUUAAGUAACUGGCAAAGCCUCCCCCAAGCUUGUGGGAGACUCUCUUCUUUAGUUUGCACAAAGUUAAAUAUUUCCUGCAAGGCAGCUUGUUUCUUAUGAGCAGGGAAAUAUUUUUCAGAGAAGUAAUAAAUCAUAUCCUGGGGACUACGCACACAACCAGGAGCAAGAGUAUUGUACCAAGCUUUAGCAUCAUCCUUUAAUGAAAACGGAAAUAAUUUGAGAAUAAAGUAAUAGCGAGUCUUCUCAUCAUGAGUAAAAAGGGUGGCUAUAUCAUUCAACUUAGUAAGAUGUGCCACAACAGUUUCAGUGUCAUAACCAUGGAAAGGAUCAGACUCAACCAAAGUAAUUAACUCUGGGUCGACAGAGAAUUCAUAAUCCUUAUCAUCAAUAAAGAUAGGUGAAGUAGCAAACUUAGGAUCACGUUUCAUUCUAGCAUUCAGAGAUUUUUCUUUAUACUUGGAUAAUAAUUUCACUAGAUCAUCUCUAUCCUUACAAGCGAGAAUAUCUCUAGUUGUCUCCUCAUUCAUGACAUAACCUUCCGGUAUCUUAGGCAAUUAAUAUCUAGGAAGGCUAGUUCUAGCAGGUGUUUCAGGAGAUUCAGUUUCAAGCUCAUCAUCAGAUUCAACAACAUCAUGUUGUAUUACUCUAGCAAUUUGUGCAUCAAGAAAAUCACCAAGUGGCACAUCAUCAUUAUCAAGCAAGGUACUAGCAUCAUCAUAAGCAUUAUCCAAAGCAAAAAUAGCAUCAUCAAUAACUUGCGACAUAUCAGAAUUAAUAGCAUGUUGUGGCGUUGCAACUUUACUCAUAAUAGAAGGUGAAUCUAAAGCAGAACUGGAUGGCAGUUCCUUACCUCCCCUCGUCCUUGAGGGAAAUAUCUUAGUCUUAGGGUCCUUCAGAUUCUUCAUAGUGAUAAAUUGAUAAUAAUCCCAAGUGAAUCAACAAAUAUAGCUAUGCUCCCCGGCAAUGGCGCCAGAAAAAGGUCUUGAUAACCCACAAGUAUAGGGGAUCGCAACAGUUUUCGAGGGUAGAGUAUUCAACCCAAAUUUAUAGAUUCGACACAAGGGGAGCCAAAGAAUAUUUGAAGGUAUUAGCAGCUGAGUUGUCAAUUCAACCACACCUGGAGAUUAAUUAUCUGCAGCAAAGUGAUCAGUAGCAAAGUAGUUUGAUAGUUUUGAUAAUAGUAACAGUAGCAACGGUAACAGUAACAGUGAUAACAGUAAUUUUGUAGCAAGUGUAACAGUGAUGAUAGCAGUAGUAACUUAGCAAAAGCAAUAUAAGAUAAAUUCGUAGGCAUUGGAUCGGUGACUUGUUGGAUGAUAUUCAUCAUGAGACAGUUAUAACCUAGGGAGAUACGGCACUAGCUCCAGUUCGUCAAUAUAAUGUAGGCAUGUAUUCCGUAAAUAGUCAUACGUGCUUAUGGAAAGAACUUGCAUGACAUCUUUUGUCCUACCCUCCCGUGGUAGCGGGGUCCAUAUUGGAAACUAAGGGAUAUUAAGGCCUCCUUUUAAUAGAGAACCGGAACAAAGCAUUAACACAUAGUGAAUACAUGAACUCCUCAAACUAUGGUCAUCAACGGAAGAAGUCCCGGUUUUUGUCACUCCGGGGUUACCGGAUCAUAAAACGUAGUAGGUGACUAUAACUUGCAAGAUCGGAUCUAGAACAUGGAUAUAAUUAUGAUAACAUAAACAGUUCGGAUCUGAGUUCCUGGCACCCGGGCCCAAAGUGACAAGCAUUAAGCAUGGCAAAGUCAUAGCAACAUCAAUCUUAGAACAUAGUGGAUACUAGGGCUCAAGCCCUAACUAGACUAACUCGAUUACAUGAUGAAUCUCAUCCAACUCCUCACCGACCAGCGAACCUACGAAGGAAUUACUCACUCCCGGUGGGGAGAAUUAUGGAAUUGGCGAUGGAGAAGGGUUGGUGAUGACGAAGAACGAAGAUCCCCCUCUCCGGAGCCCCAAACGGACUUCAGAUCUGGCCUCCCGGUGAAGAACAGGAGGUGACGGCGGCUCCGUCUCGUGGAUCGCGAUAAUUCUUUCUCCCUGAUUUUUUUCCUGGCAAAAUAGGAUUUUAUAGCGUCGGUUUCAGGGUCUGCGGGGCCACCAGGUGGGGACAACCCACAUGGGCGCGCCAGGAGAGGGGGCGCGCCCUGGUGGGUUGUGCCCACCCAGGGGCCCCUCUCCGGUAGGUCUUGGCUCCAGAAAUUCUUAUUUAUCCUAUAAAAAAUCCUGGCAAAGUUUCAUUCCAUUCCGAGAACUUUUAUUUCUGCACAAAAACAACAUCAUGGUAGUUCUGCUGAAAACAACGUCAGUCCGGGGUUAGUUUCAUUCAAAUCAUGCAAAUUAGAGUCCAAAACAAGAGGAAAAGCAAUAGGAAAAGUAGAUACAUUGGAGACGUAUCACAGCGCAGCAAGGGACGUUCGUUCCCGACAGAGAGAAUGACCACCGAGGCCCUCGGGAAUCCUGAGCACCCUGGACGAACAUGAGGCACGGCAGGCUCCGUUACGUGGAAGGUUGGGUUUCCCGGCGCAGGCGGUUACAAAACCCAGGAGAGGACGAGGAAACUGGAGUAGAGCGAACUGCAGAAGCUAAAUGCAAGUGUACGAAAGCUAGUGGAACAAGUUGAGAGCCAGCAAGGUGCCGGAGCUACCCGAGAAGCUACCCCGUCAUCUCAGCGGAGAAGCAGCGUGGCUUCUACCUAGCUCGUUAAGCAACCUGACUUCACGGCUCCUAGCUACCCCGUGGAUGCUAUCACGGAGGCUCAACAUUGCCAGCUUAUGACGCAAUGGAAGAACCUCAAAGUCAAGGCGGCUGUCGGCUCUGUUGCACCUCCUCAGUCCGACGCAACUUUUCACUGUCGUCCGAUUCCAUAAGGCUAUGCUGUUGUGAUGGUGGAUGAAGUGAUGGAGGGAUUUGUGGAGCUCGAGCUUGACCAACCAACAGGUGAAGGGGAUACUCAGCUGGGUCUUGCUCUGAAGACUCCAUGUCUAUGGCGGAAGGAGCACAUGAAGCUUCUGAACUGGACGCCUCCGCCUCCUCCUCCUCCUCCUCCUCUGGUGAGUGAUCAGGGCACUCCGCCUCCUUCUCCGACGCGUGAGGGCGGCACUCCACCUCCUUCUCCGCCAGCUCCGGCGCGUCCGAGCAGCCCGCCUCGUCCUCCGCCUCGUCAGCAACGGCGGAAGACAGAAGUCGCCGCUCCGGCGCGUCGGAGCACUCCGCCUCCUUAUACUACUCGUCAGCAGCAAUGGAAGAGAAACGCCGCUGCUCCGGCUUCUAGCAGUACAGCCAGAGGCGGGAGGCAAUACAGAUUCGGUCCAUCUCUCAAGCCUUUAGAGAAGUUACCAUACAAGAUGACCAUGGAGGAAAACGCGAAGAUCUGUGAAGCCCAAGUGAAGGACUUCUUUGAAACGCGAAGAGCUAUGAAACAUCCACCUCCGGAGGAGAAGAUAGAUCCGGUGAAAUUGAAGCGCACUAUCGAUGCCCUGAAGCGACCACCACCGCCUCCGCCGGAUGACAACCAUGUCCACUGUCUUAAAAAGACACUGCAAGAUGCGCGCUGGUCGGGAACUACUUCGACUGAUAAAAGGUUAGAAGAAAAAAGAAGUGGGAAAAAAUUCUCCAGCUCGGCGAACAGGCGAACCAAUCGUGCCCCCUGCUCAAGGUGUCUAGCGAUAUCGUCACAAAUGUGCCGGGGAUGCUGCCCGGUACCGAUCCUGGUGAUUACCUACCCGACGAUGCACAUUUUGAUAAAAUGGAGGUGGACGAAUUCAGAUGCCAGUACGGGAAGCCUCUCAUCAAAGAUGGAAGUCCUCCUCUAACAACGAUGAUGCGAAGAUUCCAUCAAUGGUACAUGAAAACCUGCAGCGAGUCUGGGAAGGAUGCUUUGACGAUGAGAAUUAAAGAUGACCACGACUUUAUUGGACAAGAACUGUUAACUGUUGAUUUUGACGAGUUUUUCCAGUUCUACAAUCUAAUGGCCGUCGACAAAUCACUCGUGGCUUGCUACUGUCUGUAAGUACUACUUUAUGUAAUUAAGUCUCUAUAUAUAGCUCAGCUCUUUCAUUGCAUGUAUACAUAAUUAUCCUCACUAUAUUAUGUAGAUUGAAGAUCGUCGAAUGGAGAAAAGCACAAAUCUAUGACAUUGGGUUCAUUAACCCAAAUGUCAUACAUAAAUGGAUGGUUAAACACAAUGUCUCAGAAACCGAGGACAACUUGCUACAAUCGUUGCUCAAAAAUCAAAGCAAAGAUAAAAUACUCUUUCGUUACAACUUCAAGUGAGUGUUACUGUCUUGUGCACAUUCGGUUUCCCUUAUUACUCGAGGUUAUAGUAAUGUAACUGAUGAGUUAUGCAUGCGUGCGCAGGUACCACUUUAUUAUCCUAGAGAUUAAGCUUGAGUGGGGAGUAGUAACCAUCUUAGACUCCAGACGGAAAGAUCCUGAGGAGUAUGCGGACAUGACUCGAAUGCUCAAGAAGUAAGUUCAAUCGAUACCAUUUAGCAUGCUUGCUUAUCAGUUUGAUUGACCUCUAUUUCUCAUAAAGUGCUUGUGGCAGGGUUUAUUCAUUUCCUGAUAUCAAGUAAUUAUUUUCUUUGUCUGACAGGGUUUGGAAAGAGUUCACCACAAUUUCUCUGGGACUGCCGACCAAGCUGCGAUUUAAACACCCGAAAGUAAGUACUACUACCUAGUUCCGCGCAUCUCCCAUUGAUUCUAGCUAGUUUCAUCAAUACCAUUUAGCAUGCUUGCUUAUCAGUUUGAUUGACCUCUAUUUCUCGUAAAGUGCUUGUGGCAGGAAGCCGGGAAUGAUUUCUGUGGAUACUACGUUUGCGAGUUCAUCUACAACACGACGGCCUCUAAUAAGCGCGGCUACUCUGAAAAACAAUAUGAAGUGCGUAAGAAAAAAUAUUCACAAUUUUAUUUUAUUACCAUCAUUUGUGUUGAGUUUCAUUCAUACACAUGUAUUGACCCUCUUCUUCAAUUUAGAUCUGGCAAAUGCGGGAUGAACUCCUAACACAUGAUCGCAUAAAAUCAAUUCAAGAGGGGUUGGCGGGAUUCUUUCUUGACCACGUCAUCAAUAAAGCCGGAGAAUACCAUGUGGCACUUGACUUCAGAUGUUAGGGAUUGUAAGAGAUCUUAUAUUGUAUAUAUGUUGCUAGUAGCGUCGGAUAGAUAUACGAAAACUUGUUGUUCAACCAAUCUCUCAGAGAAGGAGGAGGUCGACCACUUCUCUCUGUAUAUGUUCAUGACGAUCUUGUGUACUUAAUGGUUUCCUUCAUUUGCUUACUAGCUAGCGUGUCGAGUCCUCUCUAUACGUAUAGUACGUAGCGUCGACCAAGCACAGAGAUAAGAGAGGUCACUUCUCUCUAUUAGCUAGCUGACACAAUAUAUGAAACCCCUAAAUUAACCCUCCAAAACCCCCCAACCCNNNNNNNNNNNNNNNNNNNNNNNNNNNNNNNNNNNNNNNNNNNNNNNNNNNNNNNNNNNNNNNNNNNNNNNNNNNNNNNNNNNNNNNNNNNNNNNNNNNNNNNNNNNNNNNNNNNNNNNNNNNNNNNNNNNNNNNNNNNNNNNNNNNNNNNNNNNNNNNNNNNNNNNNNNNNNNNNNNNNNNNNNNNNNNNNNNNNNNNNNNNNNNNNNNNNNNNNNNNNNNNNNNNNNNNNNNNNNNNNNNNNNNNNNGGAUGCUUUUUGGUCCCGGUUGGUGUUACCAACCGGGACCAAAGGCCCUCCUGCCUGGGCUCGUCGGAGCGGCCAUGUGGAGCCCCACCUGUCCUGGUUCGUAAGCGAACCAGGACUAAAGGUCAUGGGCUUUAGUCCCGACCCUUUAGUCCCGGUUCCAGAGCUGGGACAAAUGGGCCUCUGGAACCGGGACAAAUGGGCCUUUAUCUACUAGUGAUCCAAGACCUCGACACCACCUCACCCGAGACCCGCCGCACCCCACGAAAGAGACGAGCGGAAAGGUCCCACCUUUCGCACCCCUGGGCGACCCCCAACGUCGAGACCCAAUAGGUCGGCCAAAACUGGCAUCCAUCGACCCGUCCUGCUGCCCCGAGCGCGAGACGAGCUCGGUCCUGCAGCAUCGAGAAGGGGACGAGGUCAGUCCUGCUGCACCGUGCACGAGACGAGCUCGGUCCUGCUGCAUCGUGCACGGGACUAGCUCGGUCCUACAGCACCGGGGCACGAGACGAGCGGUGGACCGCAUCUGGGAGAGGACCAGCCCAUUGAUGGGAGUAGCGCCCGGGCGACGAGAAGAUGGGGAGAAGGUCGAGACAGCCCGACCGCAGACGAGCCGACGCCAGAGAAGCCGGCCGUUGCCGCGGGCAGAUCCGUCCAGCCGUCGUGAAGCCGCCACGACACCGGGAGGCCACCACCGAGACCUCCCCAUGCCGCCGCCAACGGCCAGAGCAGCGGCCACGCCCGACCCUGCCCUACCCGCGCCGCCCAUCGAGCUCCAAGCGCCGGAGCCGCCAGGCACGCACCACCGGAGCCACGCGCCGCCGGCCAGCCCCCCACGCCAGAUCCGGCCGGAUCCGGCAAGAGACCGGCCGCGCGCCACCUCCCGUGAUGGGAGCAUCGCUGUUACCCCGCCGUGCGCAGAACGAAGGGUGCCAGAGCACCGCCACCAGUAGGCCACCCGCCGCCCCGCGAGACCACCGCCGCGCCACUGGACCCCGCGAACGUCCAGCGCUGCCACUCAAAGGAGUCGCCCGCGCCGGCGCCCACAAGGGAGGGGGAAGAAGGGCCCCGCCACCGCCGUGCCCACCGGGCUUUGCCUGAUGGAGCUCGCCGGCGACGGCGGGGGGAGGGGAGGGAAGCGGGGCUAGGGACGCGGUAGCUGGAGAUCCCCGUCGGCACGCGCGUGCGUGCCGCGGGAGGGGAGGGGAGGAGAGGGGGAGCGGGGCGGGCCGGGAGGCGCGCGCCCGGCGGCCGGUGGCGGCGGGGAGGGAACCCUAGCGGGGGUCGUGGGGGUCGCGGGGGGUGAUCACUAGAGCUGCUUUGGAAAGUCUUCUCCCAAGACAAUAUGAGUCUACAAGCUAAUUAAUGAAGUCCUCUAUGACACUACUACUAUGUUACUUUGCACUAUGAAGAUAGUAACUUAGACUAGUGUCAUAUGCAUGACACUAGUAUAAGUUACUCCCCACUAUGACCAGCCUAAGAGCGUCUAUGCCCAAAUCCGCUCAAACACUCGGUCAGACGGCCUAAUCAAUGACCGGUCACAAAAAUAUAAUUUAGACGGAUUUUUCAAACGGGGCUGAAACAAACAGAUUAACCGGCACCCCUCAUAUUCAGGUCAAAUAUGGAGCGGUUAAAGAGGUGCCCGGACGUGCCCGUCAUGGCGGAUUGACGAUGGGGUCCCAUAGAAAAACACUCUGAAACCUGGCGGUCCAAAAAUCGUCUCCUUGAUCGGAUCGAUGGUGCCGCGUGGCGCCGCUCUAGCGGGCCGUGUAGUGCCUAGCCCGGCUUUUUAAGCCGACCGCCGGCAUCGAAACUCUACCCAUCCACAUUUCCCCCUCCUGUUCGCCACUGCCGCCACUUUCCACUCGCAAUCCGCCACCACUAGUAGUCAUGCCCCCAUGCCGCCGGAUAAGGAGCUACCCAUAUAUAUCUAACGCCAGAGCGGCGGCUGCGCCUCCUUGAGCAGAUCUGUGCAAGGCGCGAAGCCCGGAUCGCCGUGGGGCAACCUCCGGAUGCGGUGGAUCCGGAGGAGGAUGUUGAAGACGCGGAUCUGCAGGCGGAACAGCAGGCGAUCCGCGAUUCCCUCCGGUCGAAAGCGGAGGCGGAGACCAACCGUCACCGUCUGCAGGAGGCGGAGGCGGAGCACGCUGCGGUCUUCGAUGAGAUGCUCACGUCUACGGACGAGGACAGGGAGCCGAAUCCCACCCACGCGACCAUCUAUCCGUCCGGCACCAACAACAUGGACAUCUCCGUCGAUGAAGCUUAGCUAGGGUAGUUAGUACGUAGGAUUUCUUUUGCAUGGUUUGUAUGAAAUCUAGGAAAUGAAAUGUGAAAGACUAGGAUGCAGAGGAGUAAAUCUGAGACUUGAUCGGUCACUGUCCGUGGACGCGACCGGUCACGUCCGCGGGCGUUUGUGGUUGGAUAGUAGAUGCUCUAAGAGCAUCUAUACCCGGGCACCCCAAACCCACCUUAAACGCCCGGGCGGACGGCCUGGUCACUGACCGGUCAUGAAAUUUCGACCCAGACGGGCGCCUCAAACGAGCCUCAAACGCCUAGCCUGACCAGCACCCCUCAUAUCCAGCCCAAAAAUGGGGCGGAUAUGGGGGCGCCCGGGCGCGUCCGCCACGUCGGACCCGGCCCAUGCUGGCCCACCCGACAUUACAUAUAUUCCUCCCCAUCCACUCGCCGGACCAAUCCCUAGCCACUUCACUUCACUCUUCUCCGCCACCCAAGCUCCCGUUCGGCGAUCUUCGGCUGUCUCCGGCAUGGCGGGCAGCGGAUCCGAGUCGUUCACCUCCAGAUCCGUCGACCCCGAGCUCAUCCCACACGGCUCCGAGGAGGAGAUGGUCGUCCGGCUUGCGCUCCGCCGCUCCCGGGAGGAGGCCCGUGCGAUGCAGCGCUCGGACUCCUUCCGUCAGGAAUCCAUUGCGUCCGCCCAAAUGGCGCAUUGAUCCAGCGCUAUGUGUGACGCCACUGCCUCACCGGAGGUGGUGCGGUCCGUCUGGCGUCCGAACGUGGUGGCGGACGCACAACCCCUCCGUUGGCGCACCGAGGCCAUGGACGCACCAUGGGUGUCGUCCGACGCAAACAUGGCGCGGCGUGCCCGCCGUCCGAGGCAGCUGGCGCUGGAGGCGGCGGCAGCCAUCGCGGCGGUGGACAUCGGCGAGGCGGAGUCGCAUUCUCCGACGCUGCGUAUGGUGCACCAGUCCAGGCGCCACAACCGCGUUAUGGUGGAUGUCGCCGCUUCGUCCCAGGACGGAUCCAUCAUCAAUCUAAUGUCCACUGGCACCGUUAGGUUUCGGGCUCUGACGAGGAAGAGUAAGGCAUACGAGACGGCGGCGCGUUGAGUCCCGUGAGCCGACUCGUGUCCCAUGCCCUACUCUACCUUAGCGCCGACCGGGCCAAUACUCUAGGGAGCGCAGCCCGUCGCUGUACAUGGGCACAACGGAUCCGGACAAGCUCUGCUUAAAAAUCGGUUUACGUUGUAUGUAAUAAUAUGAAUUUGAGAUUUUUACAUUGAUGUCCAUUGUAGAAUCAAAUACGGAAUGGAUGUGCACACGACGUCAUGUGCACGAGGUGCACCCGAUAAAAGCUCUGCACCAUCAGAUGCUCUAGAAACACAAGUACGAAUGGCUAGAUGGAAACGUCGUCAACGUGUCGUCUAAAAGGUAUCGGCUGUAUAGCAGUGCUCAAAUUAAGUAUUUAAGAUGUGAUCGGUCACUGUCCGUGCAGGGGCUAGAUUUUCUAACUGGCGGCCGGGGCGGGCAGCCGGCACGGUCGGUCGUCCCGUCGCUGUUGCUCGCCACGACGCGGCCAUCUCGAUCCUCCUCCUCUCCACUUGGAUCGACCGCGACGUCCCCUCCUCUCCCGUCUCGUCUCGUGUACGGUGCACCGAGCAGGGAUCUCGACGGAUGUGAUUGGCAUAUGCAGGUGGCGUCUGACCGCGACCGCCCGGCCAUGGUUGGUACUUGGUACGGUUGUAUUUAAUUGCAAAGUGCCCAGUGUGUCCAGAUCGAUCGACCGUUCGUCUCUGCCCGUCCAGCACCUCCCGCCUUUCGCCUGACUUCCCGCCGUGACUGCAAGUACGUAGUACGUACCUAAGAUAAGUGUCGGCGCCACUCUCUUCACGUACGGUUUUUCGUUGUUGUUGUGAAGAACCGGUGGACAUGGACGACCCAGGUACCACACACAUAACGCGACGUACUACACGGCGACGGCAUACACUAUAUUCACUCGCCAACGCAUCUUUAAUUAGCAACCAUCAAGGACAGGGCGUGCAUGCAUGCACGCUCGAUGAACCCUUGCGCGCGCGGCACAAAACACUCGUCUUUCGCUUUCCUCGUCCAUCAUCGUGUUUCCAAGGCCGGUGACGGGGGUAAUCAUGCCGCUUUUGCUCAACCGCGCGACGUGCGUACUACCGGCAUGGCGACCUGGAUCGUCUUUUCCCGCCUUGAUCCCCGCCGCCCGCUUCACCCACGUCACCCUCCCCCCUCCUGAUGCAAAACCUUGAGCAUGCAUGCAUGAUGGAUCCAUGCCCAUCUCUACUGAAUACUUCACAUGAUAGCUGCAUUAGUACGCCACUAAGUGCUCCUCCAACUCCAUCAGCUUUAAAUUGUGCAAGUGAUCAUGGAUGUGGUAUAUGUAACCAUCAUAUAAUGCCAUUAUACUACGAGCAGAGCACUUAUCUGCUGAAAUUGGACGGGUUGUCAGGUAAAAGGUCAGGUCCACUCAUUGUUCCAGCUGUAUUAGACAGAGGCUGCUUGUUUUCCUUUUCUUAAAAAGCGGAUUAAGGACACUGAUGACCUGGGGUUAAUGAUUCUCUUUCAUGGAAAGGGAACCUUUAACUUAAGUCACAUCAUCUUUGCAUUUCAAAAAUCAAAUUGACCUUCCACUUGGCUCUCAUACCGGCUUAAUCAACUUCUCUUUAAUGAUUCUAGUUAAGUGGCUAUCAAAUUGCUCCUAAAAAAAUUGUGAAUGCUUGAGGGGAAACAGAUCAUGCUAGCUUUUCUUCUCAAGAAACAACUUUGGUUAAUUUACCUAUUUUUUGAAAGAUACCAUUGAUACAUAACUUCGGUUGCUGAAAGCGAGUGCAGUGCUUGUGAAAGUAACAAAGAACACCGGUAUCUCACUGUCUGCUAGAGUAACUAUUUUCUAACUGAAUAUUUGAUUGUUAUUGCAUGCAGUUGCUCUCUCUCUAAUCUCUAUGGCAUGACAUUUGGGUGUCAUUUCUUCAUAAUAAUUUGGUUGUGGGCAUCCUUGACGCCUCCCUCGGCUAACUUUUGACCUUGUGUUAUUGCAGAGUCUAGGACUAUAAUAUAUUGUUGGCUCUUCGUAGUUAAAAGAAGAACCUAAAUACUUAACUGACAUCUAUUUGUUGCAUGAUCGGUUAGAAAAGAGGGGGCAAGAUACGUUUCUGCCCUGAGGGGGCAAGAUUCUUCUCUGCUGGCUGUGCGCAAGUGCAUACGUAAUGCCAGGCCAAGCAGCCAACACCAUCUUGUUCUUAUCUUAUACUACUACAAAUAGGUCCUAAUUAAUAUUCUUCAGAUAGUUUAAGAGCCUAAACGCACAUAGUAUCAGCACUAACCGUCAGAGCAGUGAGGACCAUUGAAAUCUUAAUUUAAAAUCAUUAGAGUCUUCUAAUCUCAUUACAGUGCCCUAGAGGAAGACAAAACCUGCCUAGGAAUGUCAGCCCGUCGGGCAUGAAUUAGAGCCUACCACUGGAACUAAACUAAACCCUACAUGAUUCCCUGAUAUCCCCACCUGUUGGGCGCCAUUUCACCUUUUCUUCAGUAUUCAAUCUGAAUAUAUACAUGGAUGCAUAAUAAUUCUUCCCAAUACGACGCCACUCAUCAGCUGCAAGUAGUUCUCAUGACAGUAGUGUAGUAGUAACUGUUGGUGAAGCAAUUCGGAAGGCGAGUGGAAAUGAUGGGUGGAUCAGCAGCGUUCAGCGGUGCAGAAUUCCGCGACGACGAACGACGCCAAUCGACAUAUCAUCCGUCCAUCAAACGGAAAUCAUGGCUCGGCCGAUCUCGAGGCGCGGAAAGGAGAUCGAGGGGCGCGGCAGGCGAGGAUGAAAGUUGAGGCGCAAAACCUUUCUGAAAAAGGGCUACAGGGGAAGGGGAGCAAAGGAAAUAGCAUGCAUGCCUGCAAGAGAAAAAAGCAGGCCACAAAUACGCAUCGCGCGCGCGCGCGCGCGCGCACAGGGAACACUAUGACACUACACUAUGCACAAAAUCCGAUCACACACACAUAGAAAAGCUGCCGUUUUGAGGCCGGGGAGCAGUGCAUAAAAGUGAUGGAAAGAGUGGAGCUAGAGGCCUCCGGCUAAGCGAGGUGGCCAUCCAUGUCCAUGCAUGGCCGCGGCAGAGAUUCCUUGAGUUCUCCUCCUGUGAUGGAAUGAAGGAGCUGAGCCAUGUACGCUUGCGAGCUACUAGUGAUGGAGAAAAGCACGACUUGGAUCGAUGCGGUGAAGCUCGUAUACUUUACACUCAUGAUCCCUAUGAGUUCACUGUGGUUUUGGCGCACCUCGGCGAGCGCGCACACGCCAUGACACUAGCCAUCUUUUGGAAAGCAGAACGCGCGCGCGCAGCUAGCACAGACACGCAGACCUGACAAAAGCGAGGUCAAAAUGAGAGCUCUCCCCAAAAGCGAUCUACAUAUCCUCGACUCUCAACUCAUCGGCGAUUUAAACUACUAUACUAAGUAGAUGCUUGCUGAAAUGUAUGUAUCUAAUUAUUUCGAAGCAAAACGCCGUGAUGAUGAGUUAAGCAGGUCCUUCUGUGCCUGCGUGGUGCAUGAAAUGCUCAUUUCCUCGCCACCUACUUAAUCAUGGGCAUGCGUAGACAAGAUAAUCUAUGGUUACAUAUAGAGUAGGAGUAUUAUUUUCCUAUCAAUCUCCUUCGACAAGUUAACCUUCUGCCCUUGAGGUGCACUAGCUAGCUAGCCAGCGUGGAAAAGUCAUGCACGUACAGUACUGCGACUACACAACUUGGCACACACACAGUAGGGUGUUUGAACUUUGAAAUUAUUGCCUGCAAUUAAUUUGCCUUUUGCGUCUAUGCAGCAGUGAACCUGCAGUGGCAUCUCUUCUCUCUCUCUUUCAGACACACGGACAUGGACAUUAGUACAUUUGUGUCAUCUGUCACGUCCACCUCUUGAUCACGACGUGUGUCAGCGCGUGUCCGUCCGUGUCUCCGUGUGCGUGUGAGAGAAAGUAUGAUUGUAACAUGGCUAAUAGCAAAGCAACAGAGUCGACAUUUCAAUUAGGCUGUUCAUCACAAGUUGGUGUGCAUGUUGGCGUUCAGGUCUGAUCGAUGAGAGCGAGCGACGUCCAAGCAGGACACGAGCACAUGUGUCUAGGGGCCGGCCGGGCUGCAUGCUGCUCCUGCAUGCUACUACUACUAGUACUACACUAUCACCACCGGCCGGCCAGUGCCACUCAAUGCACCCAAUCAACUCAACAUGUGACGGCUCCGAUAUUGCGCAGAGAACAACCGACAGGGCCAGCACGGUAUUGGCUUCAUCCCUCACCUCCUGAACCCGGCAGCUGGACUGGGCUGACAUGACCGCAUGCACUCUGUACAGCUCAGCAUGCCACCCGUCACUGACACGUGGGGCCAACAUUCCUACGUAGCCCACUCACGUGAAGAUCCACUUGUCAGGGCCCAAACGGAACUAUGAACUCUUUUUUUUUUCAAAACCCGUUACGAGCUAAAUAUAAGCGCGACAUGUUCAUAUGGGUCUACAGUUAAUCAUGUAUGACAGGACAGCACUGACGUGUGAGCCCAAAACGUUAACGCGAGCCGCUUACGCAUAACCCCACCCGUUGGUAAAUCAGAAAGGCUUCGCCGAUGUCCAAAAGCAACCUAAGGUACAAAUAAGCGCGACAGAUUCAUAUGCGUCUCCAGCUCAUCUGUCAGUGACCAGGCACGGAAACAACCUUUACAUUUUGCAAGCAAGCACAUUUUGCCCGUUGGGUCCUCCGACUCAACAAGCACACGUCGAACGUCCAUUCAUAUUUGACCGGGACCAUUUUGUGAAUUAUGAUCAUCCUAAACCACCUUGAACCAUCACCGAAGAAAAGAAAGAAAGAAAGCCCCGCCUUGAACAAAGAAAAGAAUGUGUAAAAACCCACCGUUUGUGCAUCCAACCCCAUCACAUGUGAGAUAUCACCGGAAAACCACCCUCGGCAAAAUAUCAGGAAAAACCCACGGGUUGUAAAUUCGGCUCCUGAUCGCCGGAAAGCCCACGGGCAGCCGGUCAAAAGGAAGAAAAAAACACCGGUCAGGAGCGCAAGCACGAGCGGCCACGCAUCGGGCGAUAGCGCCAACGGCCAACCGGCUACAUAGCGCAGGCUGUCCGCCCCAGUUGCAGCAAGCGGCCUGGGCUAGCGAGAACCAUGGAUAUGGAAAGGGCAGGCGCAGGGGCAGGCCACGUGCCAUUAAAACCAGCAGAGACGUACGCAGAAACAUCGACCGAGAAGAGCAACCCUGGAGCGCAGCGCAGCGCAGAACCAUAUCACAUUCACGCCGCUCCAGUUCACUCCACACGCGCGCACCCUGCCCGCUGCCCCUCCUUUAUAUGGACGGACGGAUCGAGACUGGCGGAGGAGCGGGGCGAGAGGGCGACCUCCGUCUUGUAUCGAUCGCCGCGAGAGAUCGCUCUGUGGCCGCAGCUGUGUUCCGCUGUACGCACGCACUGCCCGUCUCGGCCCGUGCCGCCGCUCCGGCCCGGAGCGCCGCGGUGGCAUGCGUAUGCAUGGGCGUGGCACGGUUGGUGGUGCGACCGCGCGCGUGUGGGGAAUCAUUGACGGGCGGCGAUCGAUAAAUUAACACGGCCGGGUCGGUUGGUCUGGUCGCCUCGCCUGGCCAGCGGUGGACUCGAGUCCGCGCCAGCGCGAGGCCGGUCGUCGCUUGCCAACCGCGCGCUGGCGCCCCACCCCUGUUGGGUUGUGUUCUCUCUCUCUCUCUCCCUUUCUCUUUCUCCCGUGCCUGGCCCUGGCUGUGGGGGUGGUCCUUGCCGUCGAUCGAUCGGUUGCUAGCUUGGCUUCCCUGCAGAUUGUUUGCCCAUCGCAUGACAAAAACCUACGCCCGUAGCUGGCCACCCUCGUCGACUCCAUCGCAUGCUACUACCUUUUUUUUCUUUUCUUUUGUAUGGAGUCCUACUGGCAGAUCACGGCUGACGACGACGUACACUAAUUGUCCCAAAAUGUACUGCCCAGUUGUGUAGUUCUUCCUCCAUCCGGAUUAUUGCACCCCCACAAACUCGUAUUUUGUGUUAGAUUUUGAUAUCAUACAUUCGACUCGACUAGCAAAAUAUAAGUUGUACUCCCUUUGUAAAGAAAUAUACGAUCGUUUACAUCACUAUAUGGUAAUCUAAACGAAGUUAUAUUUAUUUACAGAGAGAGUACAUACUAAAAACCGCAUUGUUUGGAUUCGUAUUCAAAAUAUGUUAUCAAGCAUUCAAAUGGUACUAAUUUUGUGGUCAAAUGUUAUAUUUUGCUAGUUAAAACUAAGGUCAAAGUUUGACAAAAAUAUAGGGGGGACUGAUAAAUAAAGCCGGACGAGUAAGUGCCCGCGAAAGAAUUUUAUUUUCGGUGGAUCAGGCAUGAUCAUAAGUUGAAUACCAUGGGAGAAAGCAAAAGGACGUUGGCGGAUCUUAACCCUAGCUAGCUAGCUGGUUGAUCAAGAAAGAACAAAUCGAUUAUAAGCAGCACAAGCAGCAUGCAAAAUGGAAUUCAUGGCCCUGCAUGGUGUAAAAUAACUUGAAAGCUAGGACUAACAAAGCUUGGUGGCAAACAAAAAAAUGAACCAUCGACCGAUCACGGCAUGUGACGAAUGCCAUGCCUGAUGAAAAUUCUCUUCCGCUCGCAUUUCAUCAAACCCUAAUGCUAAAAGAACAAAAAUAAACAAUCUCUUGCUGCUGCUGCUGAUGUGUCUCCCUCCUCUUCUCCAAUGGCACACCUCGCUCUUCCACUCACAAGCACAAACGUACGUGCGCUAAGUAUGACGAUGAUGAUCUAAAUGCCAUGGGAUCGCAGCCGAGUGUAAUCCUUGCGAGUUAUCUAAUGUCUAGGAGUGGAGGAAGGAAACCACAAAAGGAAAAAGAAAUCAAAGACAAAGAACAGAUCAAAGCCACACCAGAGACCAAUGCAUGCGAUGCGAUGCGAUCCUCGGAGGCCCGCCCGGCCUACGACUCGCUGGUGCUCAUGCUCUCAUGCCGCUCGCCGCCGCCACCACCACCUCCGUGUUGCUGCUGGCUAGACGAUCCUCCUCCGCCGCCGCCUCCUUGCCCCGCCGCUGCUUCCGCCGCCUGUGUCCGGUACGCGUUCAGCGCGGCGAGGAUCCCCAUCUGCCCCUCGCCUCCGCCACCGCCGCUGGCUCCCACUGGGCCGAGCCCCAGCUGCUGGCCGGGUAGCAGCGCCAUCGGUGCAGGGAAGUUCAUGAAAUGUAGCCCGCUUGGCACGCUCCCACGAUACACGGCAGCCGCGGCGCCGGCGCUGCCCACCUGCGGGAAAGUCCAGAUCGACUCACCACUUCCUCCUCCACCGCCGCCGUUUCCGCCGCCGGAAGGCGCCCCGCUGCCCUGCGCGUUGUUGCUUGGCACCAUCCAGACGGUGCCUGGCAUUUGGCUCUGCGUGUACCCCGCCAUCUGCUGCUGGUACUGUUGUUGCUGUUGCUGCUGCUGGUGUUGUUGUUGCUGCUGCUGCAUUUCUUGCUCCCAUCGCCGCUUCCUCGAAAGGUCGGCGGCUGCGGCAGCGGCAGCGGCUGACGGCGAGGGCUGCACGUCAAGACCGACGCUGCCCGAGUGGAAGUUGAGCAACAGCGGCGACGGCGUCGACGAAGACGAGGCGGGGCCUUCGGGCGGGUACCCGAGUCCGACAACCCGGUCCCACGCGUCGGCACGGGAGCCGAACCUUACGCCGGGGCUCGGCAAGGCCCCGCGGAGGUGGGCCGGGAUGGAGAGCGAGGAGCCAGAUGAGCGGAGGGAGAUGUUGAGGGAGGUGAAGUUGGCCGGGAUGGUGCCGGUGCCGGUGGCCGCGAUCACCGCCGGCUCCGCCUGCUGCAGCAGCCACUCGAUGGUCUCGCCGUCCGUCUUGUGCCCCAGCUCCCGGGUUAGCUGGAACACCCUCGCCGCGCACAGCGCAGGCAUCCGGAUGCGCCGUCCCCGGCCCUCCACCUUGGUGUGCCGGUCCUUGGUCGACGUCCGCUUGGGCACCACCUUCCGCACCUGCAUCUCCCCUCCGGCGGCACCGCCAGUGGCUGCUCCAUUCCCGCCGCCCGCCGAGGUGCCCCCCGCAGCCGAGCUGGAGCACGGUUGCUCCUCCUUCUUCUCGAGGAGCUGCAAGGGGAAGUUGGGCCUCCGGCCGCCCCCGGCGUCUCCGGCGAUGUCCAUGGUCAAUUAGGCCAUGUUAUAUACACACACAGCUAUCUCUGCGUGUAUAUGCUUUGGCCGGGUAAAUGGGUGGUUGUUUGCAGGAGAGGGGAACGGAUUUGAUGCCGCCGACCGCUUCUUGUGGGUCUAGCUCGAGAUUGGUUAGGUGUGAUGNNNNNNNNNNNNNNNNNNNNNNNNNNNNNNNNNNNNNNNNNNNNNNNNNNNNNNNNNNNNNNNNNNNNNNNNNNNNNNNNNNNNNNNNNNNNNNNNNNNNNNNNNNNNNNNNNNNNNNNNNNNNNNNNNNNNNNNNNNNNNNNNNNNNNNNNNNNNNNNNNNNNNNNNNNNNNNNNNNNNNNNNNNNNNNNNNNNNNNNNNNNNNNNNNUCCAGGAGCUAAGCUAUGAGGUAAAGAUUAUAGGUUUGGAAGGAACCCUUCCUCAUAUGAUACGAUGAGAGAGAGAGAGAGAGAGAGAGAGAGAGAGAGAGAGAGAGGUUGUGUGCGUGUGGGAGAUCACACACACUAUUUUAUGGCCUUCUGGUAAGCUUCAUCUGCGAUCUGGGAGAAGGGAGAAGCAUGAGCAGAUGGCCCUAGCUAGAAGCUAGGAGAAGGAGAGAGAGAGAGACAGAGAGGGGGAGGAAGAAGAUGGUGUACUUUGUAGGGCUUGGAGGAGAGAGAUGGAUGAAUUAAAUGGUUUCUUGAUGUAGAGAGAGAGAGAGCGGAGCUUGAGUGACAGAGACUGUGGUCGUGUACAUGGAGAGGGGGAGACGGGCAGCGAAGGGAGGAAAGAGGAGGAUAAGACAGGCGGAGGAGAAUUAUUAGGCUCACCU